This 76529-nucleotide long non-coding RNA is filed under the name Salvia miltiorrhiza (redroot sage). Its description in RNAcentral is "long non-coding RNA (SMIL_LNC001653)". The record is from RNAcentral. Lineage: Eukaryota; Viridiplantae; Streptophyta; Magnoliopsida; Lamiales; Lamiaceae.
CCUCUCAAAAUCCAAACCACAUUCAAUACCUUUCAAUUCUCACCAGCCGCCAUUUAUGGAACCGGAGACUGUCAUAAACCUCUUCGAUUCGAUGUGGUUCCACCUCGGGAUCCUCGAAACACCGCCAGAAACCUCAAUUUCACCGACUCCCCGCCUUCACACUCAACAGAAUCCGUCAAAUCUAAAGGUCUCGCGCCAAAUAUCGCUCCUUGCAAGAUCGAAGAGCGAUGAGCUGUCGAGCUUCGCAACGCAGGAUUCCUCUCCCGAUUCGGUCCUCAAACCCCACCUCCAAACCAUACUCUCCGACAAAGAGAUUUCAAUUCCAUCGGAAAUUCCGAAAAGUCCGGUGAUGAAGGAAGCCGUCAGACGGCGGCACGACAGGAGGAAGAAGCGGCUGAGCAAGAGCUUGUCGGAGCUGGAGUUCGAAGAGGUGAAGGGCUUCAUCGACAUCGGCUUCGUAUUCUCCGAAGAAGACAAGGAGGAUCCGGCGCUCGUAGAAAUGAUUCCCGGCCUGCAAAAAUUAGGGCAGAAAACGGAAUCGCGCGAUCGGGAAAAUGAAGAGAAGAGGAGGGUUGAGGAAGCUUCUAGAAUGAGAGCGAGGCCGUAUCUAUCAGAAGCGUGGGAGUUUUACAAAGAGGAGGAGCAAGCUUUGAUGAAAUGGAGGGUGCCUGCUGCAACAAAUGAGAUGGACAUCAAAGAUAGCCUCAAAUCGUGGGCCCACACAGUCGCUUCUGCUGUUAGAUGAGAUGAUUUUUAGAAAAGCUUACGUGUUAAUAUUCUUUUUUCUUUUUUUUUGUAAGUAGCGUUUGGUAUUGGUUUUUCUAAUUUUUCUAGAGUUCAAAAUUCAAAUUCUUUUAUUUCUUAUUUUAAGUUUGUAUAUAUCAAUUUGAGCAACCUUGUUGUAGAUUCAAAUAAAGCUAGGAACGCUCUCUUUCUUAUUCUAUUUACGAUGACCAUUAAAAAUAUAUAUAGUUUAUAUGGAUGUAUUUGUGUGCGCAUAUGUAAAUGGUAAGGUAUAUGAAAAUAUAAAGUAACGGGAGACAUUGAUUUAAAGAAUUAAAGAGAUUUCAUAUGCAUCAAGUAAUUCUACGUUUUGAUCAACUAAUACUUAAUUAAACAAAUCAAUAAAUAUACAAACUAUAAAUUGACAAAUACAUUUGUUUGGAGUUCGGGCCACUAUAAAAUUCACAAGUGAAUUUAAGGAGAAAAUUAGAAGUCAACUAUGAGUUUCAGCUUAGAACUUUUUUUUUUUUUGAAAGAUUCAACUUAGAACUUAUAAAAAUGUAAAAUAGUCCUAAAAAAAAAAGAACCAACUCAAAAAAAUGUAUAAAGAAAAAAAAAGUUACAGCAUAUUAGAACUUUAUUUAAAGUUGUUGAACCCAAUAUAGGCCCACUUUUAGGCCCAUAAUUUUGGUGGGCUCCUACGUACCUGGAAAUCCAAGCUCACUCCACUACAAAAAUCUGAAUAUAUUACAGGUAACGUGAAAAUAUAUUUAUAAGAAAAUGGACGAGUGGGUUCAUCAAUAAGACAAUAACUCAAUGGAAGAAUUAUCUCAAAAGAAAAAGACCAAGAUUAAACCCUAUUUAAUCAUUAAUUACUUCAUAAAACCGAACACUACCUUACACAUAUCUACAAAAAUAUUCAAAUAAUAAAUUAUCGUAACAAUUUAUAUUAUAAAUUUAAAUAUAUUUGAAUUACUUAUUCCACUAUAUGAAUUUGAGACAGGCACAACUCAAACGGCGAAUAUAAUUACUUUUAAAUGAAUUUUUAAUUUGCAUGAUUAUAUCAAUUGAGCGAUUUAGGAACUGAAAUGUGUUUGGUGGUCAGCGUUAGGUUUUAUUGUUUUAUCAUACAGUCGCUAUUGGAAAGACGAAUUACGUUUAGGAAUUUAGCAAACUUUCAUAAUUUAUAGAGCGCGAAUUCCUCAUUGCGCCGCCGAUAUGACGGAGCCGAGGCGAUUAAAAGGGCACAGCGCCGCCGCCACUUGUUGCAUCGCUUCCCGAGUCCGACCAGGCUUCAUCGCCACAGCCGCCGAGGUCACUUCCUAACACACUCUAGUUCAGCAUCUGCGUGUAAAAACAGUUCAAUUGAGCUCGAAUAACAAGUGUUCACAAUUCCCAUAUUUAAGUUCAGAUUUUCUGGCAUGCUCUAAUUUUUUUGGAUUUAACUUUUUCAUCUACUUUUUAAGUGCUGCACUUUCUUGUUUCUUAAUUUACUUUUUCCGUUAUAGGAUGGUCGCGUUUGCUUGUAUGAUUUGCGGUGCAAAGAUAUUCUGUUCUCUAUGGAUGUGGGGGAUGGGAACCCUGUUUCAUCUGUAUGUUUUAAGCCAGGUUUGUGAAAUUUCUCCUAUUUUUGGUGGUUUCUUAUUUCAUUUCUUCGUUCGUGUAUUUUUGUAGUAAUUUCUUAUUAUGCUGCGUCUGAGCCAUAGCGAAGCGAAUAUGUCCUAGCCUGUUAGUGGCGGAGGAGGUUGACAGUUCUAUCAAAAGAGUUUGUUUUGAUGUUUUCUAUUAGACCUGUUAUUAUUGAUUUUUGAUAUAUUCUUCUCAUAAUAUCUGAUGAGAUGUGAGACUUACUUUGACUACGUAAACUAGAGUAAUUGAUCUUAUUUAUUGGAGUGGAAACGUAAUACUGAUACAUGCUGGGAGUUUUGUAACAUAAUACAUGCUGCAGGGAAUGAAGGGAUCAUCUAUGUUUCUGUAGAAAACGAAAUCAAGUGCUUUGAUUUACAUGUGGUAUGCUUUCGUUUCACUCCUGUAGUGCUGUGUGUCAUUUCAAGUGUGAUUAAUCCUGUCUACCUUCUUUAGACAUAUCUUUUGCACAGUGAUGACAUUUUUGUGAUGUUGAAUAUGAUAAAGAUCUUAUAUGUUUGCCUAUGCAAAUUGAUUUUUAAAGAUGAGCAGGCAUCUGCUAUUAUUGUUGCUGACAUCUGAUUCCAUGCAUAAGAUUUGUGUUUUCGUCUGAUCAAUAUUUGUUUGUCAGAAACCAAUCACCACAAUCCAUAUUCUGUUAGAUUUUGCUUGAAAGUUUCUUACCACUUUUCUGAUAAUUUAUAGUAGUAUUUUAUUUUCAUUUUCUGAUAAAGGUUUUUUGCAUAAAUAAUGUCAUAAAGUUAUUACUAACAGUCCUGUACAAUAUGUCAGACAACUUCAUGCAAGCAACUUGAAAGUUACAAUUAUAACAAGGAUGAGAUAAAUCAGGUAUGUCACGAAUUAUUUUUUCCUGUAUUGACUGGUUGAUUAGGAAGCAUAUUGUUACUUGAAAAGGAAUCAGUGAUUAAUUCCAUAGUCUGACAGGAGUGAUCAACUUUUUUUGGCUAACAUCUUCUCCCAAUUCACUAUUAAAAAGUACAAUUACAACUGAUUUAUUGCCAUUACUCUAAAUUGUGUUUGCCGUUUACAAUGUGCAGAUUGCCUGUCACCCAAAAUCUUCUUUUCUAGCUGCUGCAGAUGAUGCAGGAGAUGUAAAGGUAUGAACUUUUGCUAAGGUUUGGUUUUAUGUGACAUAUGGUUAGGUUUGUUGGAUUGAAUAUAUCCUUCAGAAAUUUGAUGAGGAUAUUUUCAAAAUUAAGGACAAUGGCUUGUGCAGACUUUCUUUUGGCGCAUGUGGAUUUACCUGAACUUGAAUUUGAAAUAUAUCAAUCCAGGAAAUUUGAGCCUUAGGGGCCGUUUACUUUUGAGGAGUAGCCUUGAUAGAUAAAAAUAGUAAGGUUAAUCCCUUGUUUACUUAGAUGGAUUGGAACUUUGGGAUAUCCCAAGGCCCUUGAUUAUUUUUAUCAUUUGAGCUAAUUUUGCUUGAUUCAUAUCCCAUUGAAAGGUUGGGUUUGGAGAAAUCAUAGUCUUAGAGGAUAGAAAAACUCAAUGAUGCAUCUUAUCAAUCAUGCAAAAUAAAUUCCCCCUUAAAGAUUUAUUUUUGUCCAUUUGCCUUCAUUGCAGAUUGUUGAUGUUCACCAACGAUGUCUAUACAAAACAUUGAGAGCUGGUCACCAGAGUGUAUCCUUUCCUUUGUAAUAUACAUUGGUUUGCCAUAGGGCAUUCUGUUUUAAUUCAAUAGAUUUUCAUUUUCUUUUCCUUCCAAGCAUCAAUUCACAGAUCUGCUGAUAUCUUCAAGCUUUUCCUGUUGACCUUAAGUUUGCCAAGGUAGAGAGCGUUUGUUUGUUUCUUAUGAAAUUCCUUGUGUUUCUGUUUGAUGACUAAACUAUCUCUAAUGCGUGGCCGUGGUUAACUUUUUUUCUUCAGAUCUGCAGCAGUGUCCAGUUCCUUCCUUGGAGAUCUUGGGAAGGUAUUAUUAAUAAUAUACCUGAUUCUAAAUGAUUGUGCUUUAUUCAGUUCACGUCAUUAAUCUACAUUAUUUUCAUGUAACUUUUAAUCAAAAACUAUCUUGUACAAUUGUACCCCAUUUUGCUACGUAUGUAAGAGAAGUGUACCCCUGCUGAUAUGUCUUUAUCUGGUGGGCCUUAUUAAUAUGAUAUGUUUGGCUAUUCUGUUUUUUGAAGAUAAAAUGUUAUCUAUCAGUGUCUUGCGGUUUGCUCUCUGUUUCUAUGUUCUACUGUUCUACUUAUUUAUCUGCAUGUUUUAUUUCAUGUUUUUGCAGUCAUCACUGGUGGUCUAGAUUCAAAACUUGCACUUUGGGACUUCUCCAGAGGGCGUCCAAACAAAAUUAUGGACUUUGGUAUCAGCAUCUUUGCUCUCUGUUUAUAUGUUCUACACAAUGCUUCUCUUAUUCUGCCUCCUGUGAUAGUAACCCCCCCCCCCCAACCACACACACAACAAAAAAAGAAUGAAAAAAAUCUUAUAUGUUUGAUUUUAGUGUAGCUGGUUUGAAUUUGAAAUAGAUUUCUUAAUUGUUCAUGAGAUAUAUACUUUUUAAGUAAUUGUAUGAAGUUGGAUUCCAAAUUUCCACAAUAAAUAAAAUAGAUUCUUUAGCUUGAAUUAAUGAAAGUGGCCCUUUUUUCAGUAUUUAUCUUGCUAUCAUCUUCAUGCUUAAUGCUUUAAGUUGAGGUGACAGAGCCACUGUUUCCUUUUCCAUGAUAUUGCUUUGUUGUUUUAAACUCCAACUGUUAAUUGAAUAAUUCCAUGGUCAAUAGCCACACAGAUGCUACAUUAUAUCAUUGUGUAGCUUGCUCGCAGAUAAAUUGUAGGAUCUUGAUAAUCUAAUAAGUCUGGUAAAUCUGUUUGUUUUAUCAUGCAUGUACAGUUUUUAUCCCAUGCCUUUUGUAUUUGUAAUUUUUAUUCCAUUCUUAAUGUCUCAUACGGAUACUUUUGCAGGCAGUGGAGGCAAUGCAGGACAGUGCUAUAACCCAGCUUUUGUCCAUGCUCUAGUAGUUCCUGACCUUGAUUUUGUGGAUAGCGUUGGCAAGAUCUGUGUCGUGGCUAGGGGCGAUGGUGUUGUCAAUGUAAUUAAUCUUGAGCCUGAACUUACUUCUCAAAAAUCCAAAAAUUCAUCCAAGUCAAAGAUGGGUACUAAAUCACUACCAAAAGGCAAUCCCCCAACCGCAGACCAAAAUGACAGAAACCUGCAAUUAGAUUACUCGAUGGGUGGACAUGUCGCUGCAGUAUCCUCUGUGUAAGUGAUACUGCUAACUGCUGUACUAUGAUAGCUCCUUGGUUUUGGUUACUCUCUCUCUCUCCACACACACACUUAGAUUUAAAAGAAGUUUUAUUCACUGCCAUCGUCAUAUCUUAUUCAGGAGCUUUUCCAUGUUUGGAGAGAAAGGGAAGUUCAUCAUUUCAGGUGGAAACGAUAAGUCGGUAAAAGUCUGGGAUUGGUUGAAAUCUUGUGAUGGUGGUGAAACUAGUAACGGCGGCGGUGAUAUUCUAUGUUCCAGCAUUAGCCUGAGCAGAAAGGUGAGCUACAUGUUCUUGAUAUGUAUACUGAGCUUCUGUCAGACCUCACCCUUCUUUAGUAUGGCAUCUUUGUGAUUAUAUCUUUGUCUGCUCAGGUGAAUUGGCUCUGCACAACUCCAUCCGAUUCCGAAAAUCUAGUUGUCUGUGACACAUCUAAACUAGUAAAGGUUUAUACUAUUGGGUAAAUUUCCAGAAUCCCACAUUUAGUGGAUGAAUGAAUCCUCUGAUAUUUGAAGUGUGUUGAGAUCUGCAUUAAGCCUGCCUUGCAUCACAGUGAUGUUUAUGUUGUGGUGGCUGUAAAUUUAUUUAUUUCAUCUGCGACUAAGUCCCUAUGAAUAAUUAGAAUUACAACUGGUGGAGGCAACCUUGAAUUUGGUGGAGUAUGUAUAAUACUAUUAUUUUGGAUUUAGAACUUAUAAUUCUUUUUCUCUUUGAGAUGGUAUUCUGUGUCAUUUACUAGAUUAUAAGGUUUUAUUUUGGAUAUAACUGCAAUUUCCCUUCGACAUCUGGCACAAUCGAAAUAGGGUUUCUAUUAGCAACUUAUUUCCUAAUUAUAAUGAAUAUACCUAGGCUAAAUUUGAUUAUUCAUAGUAGUGGCAUUUUUUGCAACAAUCAGAAUAUUGUAAGGUUUAGAAACUAAUCGAUUACGUAUAGUUUUAUUUAAACAAUGCAUUCAAAUAGAGGAGCAAGCAUGAUAUCACGCUGAUCGUAAAUACAUGUAGAUAAUUGAAUAAAGUUAAUAAUAAAUUAUAUUUUCAUCGAAGAGGCUUAACUCAAGCGACAGAGUUAAAAGUUAAAACACCAAAAAUUUUCUUUUAUAAGGGAUCAUUAGUUCAAGUCCAACAAAUGUCGUGUGAGUUGUUUUAUGAAUUGUAUUUUCAUCUAUAUAGUUCAAGUUGUAAUAUCGCUGAAAAUGCAUACAAAUAAAGUUGAUUUAAAUUAAUGGUAAUUAUCACAUAUGAAAUAUAGGAAUUAGAAAAAUGAGAAAAAUGCAUGCUUGUAACUUGUAAGCAAAGACGCGCUCAACAUAUUGACAUAAUCAAUUACAAAAAACUAAAAUUAAAACUGCAACUGGGGAAACUAUGAGAAAUACUGAAAUAGGGAUCAAAGUCAAAGAUGGAAAAAGUAAAAGAUCUAAAAUUUACUGUAAUUCGAGAUUCCCGCAAAAUGAGGCCGUGGUGCAAUUCGCAUCAAUUUGAGGGAUCUAUUUGCGAACACCGAAAUUCACGAGGACCUAUCUGCAAUUCUCAACAUUUGGAGUCCUUGAGGCUGAAGGCUCGUUGGUUGAGUCAGUUGAGAUGUACCUCGCCAACCAUAACCUGCCUUACAAUUCCCGCAAUUUUUUUGAAAUCUUUCCACCAGAAAUUACAAAGAAAAGAAAAAAGAAAAAGAAAAAAGAUGACCCUUCUCCAUCCGCUUCCGCCUAAAGCUUCGUUCCACCAAACUCUGCUCCCUCUCAACAGCCUUUCCCAAUUUUAUUUCAUCUUCAUCAAACACCACAUUUACAUUCCUUGAUAUUAAUUCUUGAUAUAUAUUGCCAUACUUAGAAAUCUGGUAUUUCCAGCCUGAGCGAGAACAGCCAUUUGCAGAAGGUGGCAAAGUGAAGAUGAUGGAAUCUGGGAUUCCCAUAUGCAACACUUGUGGUGAACAAGUGGGAUUAAACGCCAAAGGCGAAGUGUUUGUGGCUUGUAAUGAAUGCAAUUAUCCCAUCUGCCACCAUUGUUUCGAUUACGAAAUCAAGCAAGGCCGUAGCGCCUGCAUCCGCUGUGCCACUCCUUAUGCUCAUGGUAUUUACUCUUUCUAUUCUGCUUUUACUCAUGUUUCACUUUAUCACCGUUUUCAUGCAUUUGAGAUCUGAUCUUAGUGAUAUCAUUUUUUUUAGAAUAAUAUUUUUAGAAUUAAUUAAAUGAACAGAUGGUGCAGCAGUGGCUGAAGUUGUAGUUGAAGAAUCUGUCCAUCAUAUUCCAAUUGUACAUACUGCUCAGGUAUGAUGUGCUAAGAUUAUCAUAAUGUUUUUGUUCAUGCAGUAUCAAAGAAAUUAUGGAGUGAUUAUAAAAUUUGGAUGUAAAAUAAAAAACAAUGUUUAUUGGAAUCUCAAAGUUAGAAAUAUUGCAGGAAACUGGAGUUCAUGCUAGAAAUGUGAGUACUGUUUCCACAAUAGACAGUGGUGAGUAAACAGAUUUAACAGUAAUGAACUAAAAUAUAUCUGCCUACAUUGUUGGAUGAGAAAUUUAUGAACUUAUAUAUUCUCUUGUUUUCAAGAAUACAUGGAUGAAUCUGGAAAUCCGAUAUGGAAGAAUCGGGUGGAAAGUUGGAAAGACAAGAAGAAUAAGAAGAGCAAAGCUCCGAAAAAGGAUAAAAAAGCAGCAGAAGUUCCACCUGAUCAGCAAAUGGAUGACAAACCUCAGUAAGCACACUGAAACUUGCUUCAUUUCUGAACAAUUUAGUAAAACUAAAUUACUAUAAAUAUUGUUACAAAAAAUUUGCAGGUCAGUGGAUGCUUCUCAACCACUCUCCAAAGUAAUUCCUAUACCAAAAACCCAGCUCACAUCAUACAGAGUUGUGAUCAUCAUGCGUCUCAUCAUCCUCGCCCUUUUCUUCCAAUAUCGCGUGACACAUCCUGUUGAUAGCGCCUUCGGCCUGUGGCUGACUUCUGUCAUCUGUGAGAUAUGGUUCGCCUUUUCUUGGGUGCUCGAUCAGUUCCCCAAAUGGUCUCCCAUCAAAGAGAGACCUUCAUUGACCGCUUGUCGGCUAGGUCUCUUCUCUUUCAUCUUCCAUUCUUCUUCUUCUUCACAUUGGCAUUACAAAAUCUGAUGAUGUUUUAGGUAUGAGCGCGAGGGGGAGCCGUCUGAGCUCGCUGCUGUGGAUUUCUUUGUGAGUACAGUGGAUCCAUUGAAGGAGCCUCCUUUGAUAACAGCAAACACAGUCCUCUCAAUCCUCGCAGUGGAUUAUCCAGUUGAUAAAGUGUCUUGCUAUGUAUCCGAUGAUGGUGCAGCCAUGCUUACAUUCGAGUCUCUCGUAGAGACUGCUGAUUUUGCAAGGAAAUGGGUGCCCUUCUGCAAGAAAUUCGCCAUUGAGCCUCGUGCCCCGGAGUUUUACUUCUCACAGAAGAUCGACUACUUGAAGGAUAAAGUCCAACCUUCCUUUGUCAAGGAGCGUAGAGCCAUGAAAGUAAGUGAAUUAGUUGUCAUUCAUUCAUUCAUUCGACAAAAUUUAUCUGAGAAUGACCCUUUCUUCUUGUUGGUGUCACAGAGAGACUACGAAGAGUAUAAAGUGCGGAUAAAUGCUUUAGUAGCAAAGGCCCAGAAAACACCAGACGAAGGGUGGAUCAUGGCAGAUGGAACAUCUUGGCCCGGGAACAACUCACGCGAUCAUCCCGGCAUGAUUCAGGUGUUUUUGGGAAGCACGGGCGCACACGAUACAGACGACAAUGAGCUGCCGAGGCUGGUUUAUGUGUCGAGAGAGAAGAGACCUGGCUACCAGCAUCACAAGAAGGCUGGUGCAGAAAAUGCUCUGGUAUGGAUAAUGGAUGCCUUUCUGUUUUUACUAGUAUAUAUUUGUGAGCCAUCGGAGAUGAUGAUGUCGAUGUUCAUGAACUUGUUUCAGAUAAGAGUUUCGGCGGUUCUCACAAACGCACCAUACAUACUGAAUCUUGACUGUGAUCACUACGUGAACAACAGCAAGGCUAUCCGCGAGGCAAUGUGUUUCUACAUGGAUCCUCAAGUAGGCCGCGACGUCUGCUACGUGCAGUUCCCGCAGAGGUUUGAUGGCAUCGACAAGAGCGAUCGAUAUGCCAACCGCAACACUGUCUUCUUCGACGUAACAUUUCCACUCCUUUUCACCAUCUGUAAUCACAAAGACUUAAACCACCAACUUCACUAAAUCAUCACUACUUGCUAUUUACAGGUGAACAUGAAAGGCUUGGAUGGAAUUCAAGGACCAGUCUAUGUCGGAACAGGAUGUGUUUUCAACAGACAAGCUCUGUACGGCUAUGGCCCUUCAAAUCUACCCCUCUGCCUAACAAGUCUUCAUCUUCAUCAUCAUCGUGCUGCUGCUGCUGCCGCGGGAAGAAGCCCGCCAAGGAGAAGGAUUUCGCGGAGACUUACCGCGACGCGAAGAGAGAAGACCUCAACGCCGCCAUAUUCAACCUGAGAGAGAUCGACAGUUACGAUGAGCACGAGAGGUCGUUGCUCAUCUCCCAGAUGAGCUUCGAGAAAACCUUCGGGCUGUCGUCGGUGUUCAUCGAGUCGACGCUGCUGGAAAACGGAGGAGUCGCGGACUGGGCGAAUCCAUCGCUGCUGAUAAAAGAAGCGAUCCAUGUGAUAAGCUGCGGGUAUGAAGAGAAGACUGCGUGGGGGAAAGAGAUAGGUUGGAUCUACGGGUCGGUGACGGAGGACAUAUUGACGGGAUUCAAGAUGCAAUGCCGCGGGUGGAGAUCGAUCUACUGCAUGCCGUUGAGGCCGGCCUUCAAGGGCUCGGCGCCGAUCAAUUUGUCCGACAGGUUGCACCAAGUUCUGCGGUGGGCGUUGGGAUCAGUGGAGAUCUUCCUCAGUCGACAUUGCCCUCUCUGGUACGGCUUCGGCGCCGGGCGCCUGAGAUGGCUGCAGCGCCUCGCCUACAUCAACACCAUCGUUUACCCUUUCACCUCUCUCCCUCUCGUCGCCUACUGCACGCUCCCUGCUAUAUGCCUCAUCACCGGCAAAUUCAUCAUCCCCACGGUUAUUUUGACCUAAUAAUUUAUGUGCCUUUUCAAUUUUCAACCAAACCUAACCUAAUUUUGAUUUUAAUUGUUUUGAUCUGAUCUCAGCUGUCGAAUCUGGCGAGCGUGCUGUUCCUAGGGCUGUUCAUGUCGAUCAUCCUGACGAGCGUGAUCGAGCUGCGGUGGAGCGGCGUGAGCAUCGAGGCGCUGUGGAGGAACGAGCAGUUCUGGGUGAUCGGGGGCGUGUCGGCGCACCUCUUCGCGGUGUUCCAGGGGUUCCUGAAGAUGCUGGCGGGGCUGGACACCAACUUCACGGUGACGUCGAAGGCGGCGGACGACGGGGAGUUCGCGGACCUGUACGUGUUCAAGUGGACGACGGUGCUGAUCCCGCCGACGACGAUCCUGGUGAUCAACCUGGUGGGGGUGGUGGCGGGAUUCUCGGACGCGCUCAACAGCGGGUACGAGUCGUGGGGCCCGCUGUUCGGGAAGGUGUUCUUCGCCUUCUGGGUGAUUCUUCAUCUGUAUCCGUUCCUUAAAGGUCUGAUGGGCCGGCAGAACCGCACUCCUACCAUUGUUGUGUUGUGGUCGGUGCUCCUGGCCUCUGUUUUCUCUCUCAUCUGGGUCAAGAUCGACCCCUUCGUCUCCACCAAUGAUGCAUCGGCUGCAGCGCAGAGCUGCAUCUCCAUUGAUUGUUAACUUGGUUACUUAAAUCGCAAUAAUGGAACUCCUAAGUUGAUAGUGGUUGAGAUUUUUGGGAUUUUGAUUUUGAUUUUGUCAAAGAAUGAGAUGCUGUAAAUGUGAAGACUAUUCUAGUUUAAUGUGAAAGACGUGGAUUUGAAGGAAGAAUUUCAGUGUUAUGCUAGUAUUCAUUAUUGAGUUUUGUAAUGGGUUCGAUUAAAGAAGAAGUUGCCGUAACCACGAAUUUGGAUUGCUGAGAAAUAUAGUACUACUACUACUUGAUUUGGGAGCAUGUAAAUGGAGUAUGUAAUGUAAUAAUGAAGGUCUAGCCUUUGAAAGUUUUCUUGUAUUUCCCCUAAAAUGAUUUAAUGGGGGUGGUGCUUUUGCUUCUAAGAAAUUAGUACUCUACUAGUAAUUCGUAAUAUCAUGGUUAUGUUUGUGUGAAGCAAUAACUGUAGAUUAACCAUUGGUUUUGGGAACAUUAAUUAUCGGUAAUAAAUGACGUGACAUUAUUCUUAUAAAACAAAGUAAAAAUUUCCAACCUGAGAUUACCUGUUUCCAGCUAUAUAUAUAUAGGUAACGCGUAUGGGGUUUCGGACCCUCAACAGUAGGUACUCCUCCUGUCUCCAGUCUUAUGUUUAGUUCAAUAAUUAUUCUAAUGGUAAUGGAGAAUAUUGGCAGGUCAAUAAGUCCUAAACCUCUCUUGGUAUUAGAGCAUCCGCAUUGGGGAUUUCUUGAUAGCCUACUUGAUAGUGUUUGUGUUAUUGAGUAGGUAGUGUUGCAUUGGGGUUCCUUGAUAGCCUACUUGAUAAUAUUAGUUUUUGAUUUUAUGUUUUUCAUUUAAAUUUAAUUGCUCAAAUUUAAAUAACACAAUUUAUUUCAAAUUUAAAUUGCAUUAAUUAUAAAAAUCCUAAAUAUUACAUAAAACUUUAAUAAAAUAAAAAAAAUAAAAAAAAAACAAAAUAAAAACAGCCAUUGAAAAUUAAAAUAUAUAUAUAUUUUUUUAAUUUGAGGCUCGAGUACUACGCGAUUACUCGAGUAGUACUCGAGGAGACAUUAGUUGCAACGCCAUGCUCGAGGAUGGUACAUUACUCGAGUGAUGCUCGAGGAGCCCGCGAUGCGGGUGCUCUUAGUAUAAGUGGUUCAAAAUAUUUCGACAUUAAAACUAAAAAGAAUAUAUAAAUUAAUUAAAAAUAGUAGUAUCUAUAUUUUUUUAAUACUUUAAUUAAAAUUUUCAAUUUAUGCAAACAUGCCACUUAUAAUGGCGGUCCAAAAUAAAAUACAUAUAACUUUUAAUGAGACGGAGGAAAUGAUAGUUAAUUUUAAUUUUAGUAUAAUAAUAUGUAAAAUUUAAAUUUAUUUUAAUUUUUAUAUGAAAUUAAAAUUUUCGAAUUAAAAGUUGAUGGGAAGUUGGAAUUUGUCGUCCAACAAUCAAAUCCCAAUCGACUUAAUAAAACGUACACCAUGAACGAUUACCCACAUCAAGCAAUUCAAUUCUACAAUUUGAUAAUUUUUUGAAGUGUUGGUGCGAAUAAAUUCAAUGUUUUCGUUCGCUAUGAAGUUUGUCUCUACAUGAAGAUGCAUUGCGAUAUGUGAGCUCAAGUGAGUAGACCUUAGUUGCUCUUCUAAUAGCCUUAGAGCAUCCACAAUGGUGGUGUCUUAGAGGGGUGUCUUAGGAGUGGGCCCCACCUAAGACACACCCCUCUCCAAUGCAUUGUGUCUUAGGUGGGUGCUUAGAUCCCCAUUUCCACAAAAUUCAUAUUUCUACACUUUUAUUUUUAAAAUUCAAAUUUCAUUAAAAUUAAAAUUCUACAUUACAAUAAUUUAAAUAAAAUUAAAAAUAUAAUUAAAAUACGCUAAUAAAAUAAAAAAUAACAUAAUUUCCUAAUUUAAAUAAGCCCUCGACGCUUGAGCACUUCUUGGACUAGGUGGUUGUGCAAAGCCAAUUGUGCAUCCGUCAUACCCGUCGUAUCCUUGUUCAAGAGCUUCAUAUUCAUCUCCUCUCGUUUCAUCUCGGCUUGCAUUUUUUUGGCCUCGGCGAUUACCCCCGUUUUUAGAGCAUGCUCCUUCAUGCUUUCGGCCACCUUCUCGAGGGCGUCGGAGAACGCCGAUCCUCCUCCCGAAGACCCUUCUCCCUUUUUUGCCUUGCCCUUGUCUCGCUUUGCCGCUUUUUGGCCUUGGGGUCUCGCCGUGACACUCGGCUCCGAAGAAGUAGUGGUUGCUUCACCAUCGGAGCCCUUCGACUUUUUGGCGGAGUGGACAUCCCGGCUUGCGACGUGAAUCUUUGGCAGUCACGAAGCACUUUCCAAGCUUUGACGUAGGAGAAUUGCUUCUUGAAAUUCGCCUCGAACAUCGUCUGGGUUUGUUAGAAGAUUUGAUCGUCGCUCAUACCACUCCCCCAAUUGUCCUUGCAGGUGUUGUAGAAGCCCUCGAAAAAUUUUGUCUCCUUUUGGACACGGGCGAAGUGGGACUUGAGAUGAUCCGGCUUUCGCGGCGGCGCUCCUGACGUAUUGAGCGCGUUGACCUUCUCGGCGAUUGCUCCCCAAUAUUGGAGCAACUUUUGGGAGGUCCCCAAAAUAGGAUUGUGGGUUGCCUCCGCCCACAAUAUUGCCACGAGCUCGGUCUCCUCGCUAGAAUAUGCAGCGCGGGUGCCCUUGGCUUUCGGUUUCACCUCCUCCGGCUCUUCUUGAACGUUGGCGUUCGCCGCCGGCGUAGGAACAUUUCCUGUAGCCAAGACAUUCGAGGCUUGUGAAAAUGGAGCAAACCCCAUCAUUGGAACCCUCGAUCCGCCUUGUUGCUCCAUGUAUUCAUCGAAUUCACGAUCCAUCUUUCGAAAUGUAGAAGAGAGAAUUGUUUUUGGGAGAGAAUUGUAGUUGAAGAUGUUGGUGAAUUUGAAAGAAUGGAAGGAAGAGUGGUAUUUAUAGAAGGGGAAAAAAGAAAAAAAAAGAAAAAUCAAAAUAGCCGUUGAAUUUGCAACGGUCGUUUUUUUUUUUAAAAAAAACAAAAACAAAAAUUGAAAACGGUCGAAUUUUGCCAAAAUUACCGAUUUUUGUAUUUUUUUUUUAAAUUUGAGCGCGUCCUGACCGCCAUCUCUUCUCCUCUCUCGCCCCGUGUUGAAGCCUCGACCCCGCCUCGCAUCUGGGCGCCCCUCCAGCGUGCGGCCGCCUCCUUCGCCCCGGAUCGACACCGGCUUUGCCGCUGCCGCUGUGGAUGCUCUUAAUCGGCCGAAGAGUCUCGAGAAAGAAAUGAAGAUUGAAAUUUAGGGAAUGAAAUUUGGGAAAUAAUUAAUUAAUUGAUCUCUAAUUAAUAUUUGUGGAAUGUUACGUUAACAUCAACACUUGUCUCGUCAAUUAGAAUUUCCACGUCAAAUUUAAAGGAAUGGUUAGAAUUUUCACAUCAAAUUUAAAGGAGUAACAAAUAAAAAAAUUACACAUUAUUAUAUUAAAAUUAAAAUUCGUGUACAAUUCAAAAAUUAAUUCAUAAUUUGUGUAUUUAUAGUUAAAUACCCUUUGUUUUAAAUUGCCCCUUUUCCUAAUUUUAACGAUUUAGUUUAAGAGCACUCCUUUUCUUUUCUCGGCUCGAUCGGUCUUGGAACUUGCGUUUGACUAAUUAAUCACUGACCUACAGCGAGUGUUUGAGGUGUGUGUCUUUAGAAAAAUGAAUUGAUAUAGAUUUUGUUAAUACUUUCUUCCUCUUACAGAAGGUAAGUUUCUGCAAACAUUCCAAAAUUGCGGUUUUAUGUAGUUUCUUAUUCUUAUUCUUUACAAUAAAAUUUUGCGAUCACAUUAUUAUAACCGAUUAAGAGAGAUACUAGUUUAAUAAAUAUGAAAUGAACAGAAAAAAGAAAAUUCUGUGUAAUGCUCAAAUGCUUUUAUAUAAUAAUUCUUUUACUAUUAAUUCUAGAAAUAGAAUGUAACUAUUAGUCAAACACAUAACAGUCAUAAAAAAAAGUUAUACAUUUAGAUGAAUUAAUUAUUUUACUAAAACAAUUUAAAAUGAAUCGAUUUUUAUUUAAACCAGAGUUAUUACUAGUCAUAUCGAGGCCAAAUAACAUGACUCCGUUCUGUAACUAGAUUUUAGGCAUAUUCAGUUGUUUUCCAGAAAAAAGUUACAAAAUUCAUUUAUAUAUAGGAGUAACUAAAGUACGUGCAUACAUAAAGAAAUUUAUGUAUUCAUAUAUCUUUUCAACUACAUAAAAUAUAAUUUAAUACGUUGUUGAGAUAUAAACUCUUUAUGUAUCCAUUAAUUAUCUUUUCAAAUACAUAAAAUACUAAUUUUAUUCAGUGUUGAGAUAUAAACUGAGUGUAUUAUUUCAAAUGUAGUAAUAAAAAUUUGGUAAUAUUUGAAAUGAGUAAUUAAAAAAUAAACCAAGUUAUCAACAUUGGUGUUUGAUUAGAUUAUCGACAAUCAUAAACAUCAUACAAGUUUGUUUACUAAAUUAAAUUAAAAAAAUGAUUAGAAAACGAAGACUAUGACCUAUCUGUAUGUGAUUAAUCAACUACUGUACUUAGAAAUUUCCUAAUUUAGCUAAAGUUUUGUGAAACCUUUCCAGUGAAAUCUAGAUCAAAUAUGACUAAACUUAGUAGUCAACAAAAAGUUUUAGUUAUUGAUUGAUCAAUUAACUGUAGUAAAUCAUAUAUUAAAUCUAUUACAUAUAUAAAAACUAAAUGUCGGUAAGAAUUAUAAUUGUACCAUUUCCCCUCCAAAAGACAUAUACUAUCAUCCAAUAGAUUUUACAUAGAGUAUACUAACUGAUUUUAGUUAUUGAUUGAUCAAUAACUCUAGUUAUUGGAUUUCUAAUCAAUUUUAAUAAUCGUUCUUGUUGUUUGUAGGAUGCUUGCUUCAUUAUGAAGUACUCCCCCGUCCCAUGAAGCAUGACACAGUUCUUUUCGACACGAGAAUUAAAAAAUUUGUAUUUUGUGUGCUAAGUGUGGUAGGUGAAAAAGUGAAAAUAUGAAUAAAGGGUAAAUUUUUUGUCAUUUUUAGAAACGUGUCAUAUUUCGUGAGACGGACCAAAAAGGAAACUGUGUCAUGCUUCGUGAGACGGAGAGAGUAGUAAAUUUUACGACCUAUAUAUGUACUUACAAUUUUUCUUCAUGUUAUCAAUGGAGCAUCUUUGUUUAACUAAAUUUUUUUUAUUAAUUACCUUUUCACUAUCUCCUAUUAAAAUCACUAAACUAACAAUAACGAAAACUCAAAAAUAGAUACUUUGCCUUGCAAAAAGUUUGUCUCCCAGUCCAUUAUUUGUGUUAGUUUAGUAUAGUUAUGUAAAUUUUCCUUUUAAAAACAGUACAGUUAUGUAAAUAUAGACAAAUCCAAGGCUAUUAUUAUAUCACACCAACUGUCACUCACUCUCACUCACUCACCCCUACAACAUAAAACUCGACAAAAAUUGUCCGAACUCGCAAACUAAAUCUUUUAUUACAAUGGCAAAAAUUGCACCAGAUCCUUCUCCCCUCCUCAUCUUCCUCCUCCUCCUCCUCCACCACGCCACCGCCGCAAUGCCCCCACUCGUCGCCGUCCGCCCCACCCCUCUCCACCCUACCCGAAACCCCCUCCGAUCCUCCCCACUUUCCUCCUCAACCCUCGACCCAAACCAGCUCCGACGCACUCCAAUCCCUCAACAUCCCCACCUCCAAAGACCCNAACUACAUAAAAUAUAAUUUAAUACGUUGUUGAGAUAUAAACUCUUUAUGUAUACCAUUAAUUAUCUUUUCAAAUACAUAAAAUACUAAUUUUAUUCAGUGUUGAGAUAUAAACUGAGUGUAUUAUUUCAAAUGUAGUAAUAAAAAUUUGGUAAUAUUUGAAAUUAGUAAUUAAAAAAUAAACCAAGUUAUCAACAUUGGUGUUUGAUUAGAUUAUCGACAAUCAUAAACAUCAUACAAGUUUGUUUAACUAAAUUGAAUAAAAAAAAUGAUUAGAAAACGAAGACUAUGACCUAUCUGUAUGUGAUUAAUCAACUGCUGUACUUAGAAAUUUCCUAAUUUAGCUAAACGUUUUUGUGAAACCUUUCCAGUGAAAUCUAGAUCAAAUAUAUAGGUGACUUAGUAGUCAACAAAAAGUUUUAGUUAUUGAUUGAUCAAUUAACUGUAGUAAAUGAUCAUACAUUAAAUCUAUAACAUAUAUAAAAACUAAAUGUUGGUAAGAAUUAUAAUUGUACCAUUUUCCCUCCAAAAGACACAUACUAUCAUCCAAUAGAUUUUUCAUGAAUUAUUGUCCAACAAAUAUUUCAUUGAUAUAUAAUUGACAUUUUGUUCCAUUUUCUUUAUAUCUCUAUCAUUUUGUGAGGCUAUUGUUGAUAUUAAAUUGGAGUUCGAUACCUAAACUCUAUAAGAUAUUAAUAUAAUUGUCAUAUUAUUUUACUUGAUAAUUUUAGGACGAAUCAUCUACCAAAAAUAAAUGUAAAAUAACACAUGCAGCACAUUUAAUAUGCACACGAGUAGUCAAAAUUCUAUGGUGAUGGAUUUGGAGUACUUGCUAUUAUUAUUUAUUGGUGCAUUGUUUAAUUUUUAUAUAUUAUAGAUGAACUUUUAUAUUAUAGCGAAUUAUUAUCAUUUAUUCAAUAAUAAGUUCUAUUAAUAAAAGUUCAUUACGUGCAUCGCAGGAUUAAUAUAAUACUAGUUAAAAAUAGUAACUUAACGAAUUACACUUAAUACUCUCACAAAAUCUAUUUGGAAUAUAUCCGAUCACUAUCAUCUAAGACUAUUAACCUUUUGAUUGGAACCAACACUUUACAAUUCAAAAUUACAAUCCUUUGGUUUAGAUAUGAGACUUCGGAAAGUGACAUACUUGCAUUGGAUUUCUAAUCAAUUUUAAUAAUCGUUCUUGUUGUUCGUAGGAUGCUUGCUUCAUUAUGAAGUAAAUUUUACGACCUAUAUAUGUACUUACAAUUUUUCUUCAUAUUAUCAAUGGAGCAUCUUUGUUUAACUAAAAUUUUUUUAUUACCUUUUCACUAUCUCCUAUUAAAAUCACUAAACUAACAAUAACGAAAACUCAAAAAUAGAUACUUUGCCUUGCAAAAUUUUGUCUCCCAGUCCAUUAUUUGUGUUAGUUUAGCAUAGUUAUGUAAAUUUUCCUUUUAAAAACAGUACAGUUAUGUAAAUAUAGACAAAUCCAAGGCUAUUAUUAUAUCACACCAACUGUCACUCACUCUCACUCACUCACUCACCCCUACAACAUAAAACUCGACAAAAAUUGUCCGAACUCGCAAACUAAAUCUUUUAUUACAAUGGCAAAAAUUGCACCAGAUCCUUCUCCCCUCCUCAUCUUCCUCCUCCUCCUCCUCCACCACGCCACCGCCGCAAUGCCCCCCACCUCGUCGCCGUCCGCCCCCACCCCCUCCUCCACCCCUACCCCGAAACCCCCCUCCCGAUCCUCCCCCAUUUCCUCCUCAACCCUCGACCCCAAACAGCUCCGAGCACUCCAAUCCCUCAACAUCCCCACCUCCAAAGACCCCUGCUCCCCAUCGCCGCCGCACUCCGCCGCCGCAUCCUGCGACUCCUCCGCCCCCUUCCGCCACCUCCUCUCCCUCACCCUCUCCAACUGCUCCGAAGACGUGGCCCUCUCCCUCACCGCCCUCAAAUCCCUCUCCACCCUCACAUCCCUCAGCUUCGUCAACUGCCCCGUCACGCCCAUCAGAUUCCCCGCCGAGCUCACCUCGAAUCUCCACAGCUUCACCUGCAUCAACAGCCUCGAGAAACUCACCGGCGUCUGGCUCAGCCGCCUGCAGAAUGUCACCGACCUCACCGUGUCGCACGUCGGCGUCACCGCCAGCGGCCCCACAAUCAUCCUCGGCGGCAUGAAAUUCUUGCAUUCCGUCACUCUCUCGCACACCAAUCUCUCCGGCUAUCUCCCCAAACACUGGCAUCCCAACCUCACCUUCGUCGAUUUAUCCGCCAAUCAUCUCAGGGGAAAGAUACCCAUUUCUCUCACCCGCCUCGAGAAUCUCGUGCAUCUGAAUCUCUCUUCCAAUUCCCUCAACGAAACGAUUCCGACCACCAUUGGCGACUUGAGCUCCUUGCAGAAUCUUUCUCUCGCGUCGAAUUCGCUAUCUGGGCCGAUUCCGGAAUCCUUAGCUGCAUUGCCGGCGCUGACGCAUCUUGAUCUGAGCUCCAAUCAGCUGAAUGGGACGAUACCCAAUUUCAUCAGAGACAUGAAGAAGCUGAAGUACUUGAAUCUCGCGAGCAACAGCUUCCAUGGCGUCUUGCCUUUCAAUGCGACGUUUAUAAAGAGAUUGGAGGUGUUCAAGGUGGGUGCAAACUCCAAUCUUUGUUACAAUCACACGGUUUUGGGGUCGAAGGUGAAGCUUGGGAUCGCUGCCUGUGAUAAACACGGGCUGCCGCUGUCGCCGCCGCCGGCGAAGAAUUCGGCGGCCGAUGAUUCGAGUGAUGGCUCCGACGACGAUUAUGAUGAUGACAAUGUGUUGGAAAAGAAGCAUCACAAUGGGCCCAGUAAGGUUGUUCUUGGUGUUGCAAUUGGGCUUUCUGCCAUUGUGUUUUUGAUUGUUUUCUUGGUUCUUUUAUCUAAAUGCUGUAAAUGAAAUUGAAUUCUUUUCUUGGUUGAUUAGGUUAGGGGGAAUUAUUGUGACCUUCAAAAGAUGAGUUUAUUGAGUUUGUUUCUAUGAUUUAUUUUGGUGAAAAGAAUUUCGAGAAAGAGAGAGGGAUGAUUCUUUUGUGUGUGAUUCUGUUGACUACUUUUUUCUUAAUUUAUUGCUUUGAGCAGAAAGACUGAUAUCUGCUCCGACAUUUACUUGUGAUGUGGAGAAGAGUGAAAAAGGAAAAAAAGAUUAAAAAAAAAAAGUGGCUAAUUAUCACUUUUUAAUGCUGCUGAGAGCUUACUUUAAAAUAGGAGUAGUAUUCCUCUUCAACUUUGUUUUAUGUUUAGAUGCAAGAAUCUACUUUUGCUGCAUCUUUUGCAGACUUCAGCCUUUGAUUUUCUUACUUUGAUCUCGGCCUUUUCUUUAUUUUUUUUCAUAUUUUUUGAACUGGUUCAUCUGAUUCAUUGAAUUUCUGAAAAGGAAGUGUUCCCAUUUUAAUUUUGGGAAAUUAAAAGUGUUCUUAUUUUGAUUUGGGCAAUAAGAUUUUUAAUUUAAUUAUUUUGUUGACUUUUUUAUUCUGAAUCUGUUUCUCUUUCAACAAAUGUUCUCUCUCUCUCUCUGUCUAUCUAAUUGAAAAUAUGCCUCAAAUCAGUUGACACUUUAGUUGGAGGCUCAGCUUGAAAAGGAUUAGUAUUUCGUAUUCUUAAAUUUAGUGUUAUUUUCAAAGCAUUUAUGUUUUUUAUUUACAUAUUAUUUCAUUGCAAGUUGGCAUAUGAUUCUCAUUGUUUAUGGUUUAUCAAGUUUGGAGCCAAACUGUUGCAUUCCCCCAACCCUUGAUGAAGGUGUGUAUGGCUUUAUGAUUGAGGUUUUUCCUUCAAGACUUCUCUUCAUGUCUUUAAUGGAUAGGGCAUGAAUUCAUUUAUCUAUAACUUUAAUUCACUCAAAUAACUCUCUAAAGAAUCAUAUCUAUCUUGCUUCUUAUUUAAUUUUACAUAUCAAACCUUACCUGUUAGCACGUGGAAUAUUGCCCCACUUUUUUGAUUUCGAGUUCUUGUAUUUUAAUUUGAUUUUACAGUUAUGCAUUAGGAUUAAAUAUAUCCGAUUAGAUAUCUCAUUAUUUUUUUGCAUUUUGAACUUUUACCAAAUACUACAGUUGAUGAUUUCAAAACUAGGAUAUGUUUGUUUUUAGGGGAUAUGUAAUUUCUUAAGCUUCAAAAUUUAGUACUAAUAAAUAUAUUAUUUAUGAAUUAUUUUAUUAAAAUAAUAUUUAUAUUUAUAAUGAAUACUAUUAUUAAAAUAAUGAAUUUAUUAAACGUGGACUCACAGAAUCUCAGGAAAGAGGAUCCAAAUUGAGGGUUCGAAGUCUUAAAUGAAGUGUAUACUUUUUGCUCCUCCUUUAUUUGGCACAAUUCUAGAGCUUGUAACUAACUAUAUGAAGUUGAAAAACUAAAUAUAGAACCGAUUUUGCUGUGUAUGGAACAUCAAAUUAGCCCAAUUGAGAUAUGCAAAGGAUUUAUUCUUGGUCGCAAGAAAUUUUGCUAAUCCAGAUGAUGAUGUGUUUGUGAUAUUGUGCAGAGUGUUUUGUUGAAAAAAAUUGGAAAUAUCCAAUUUUCCAAAUGUUGAUAGCGAAUUGAAUCAUUCCGGAAAUUCCAAGUCUCUUAGCCGAACCAUCCUGAAAAUACAAUUAGGUUUCAUUAAUUUAGAAACUUUCUUGUCUCUUUCUGAGACAGUAUUUUGGGGAUCUCAGAAAAUUCAACCAUGAACAGAUGCAGAGAUCUAAUUGUCGUCUAAUUUCUUUUGAUUAAUGUUAUCCUUUAUGUGUGGGUGCAUGAGAGAGAGAGAGAUGCCACUCAUGCCAGGUAAGUAACAAGUGAUUAAGUGGCUGAUAUCAUACAAUUAAACAGAUGAUUAUACCCAAUAAUCAUGUGGUCCAUUUGCCACUUGGGAUGUUGGGCCACCCAAAUCAAUUUAAUCUUUUUGCAAGGAAACAUCAUUGUAUUUUGCCUGGAAAGUCAAGUUUGCCACCUAAUUUCACUUCCCAAAUCCAUCCUUUUCUUUUUUUCAAGUUGGGCGACACUAAUAAUUGAAUCUUAAACCUAUCUUUUCAUGCACAUAAAAUUCAUCACUUAAAUGUUCAUAAAGGGAACCCAAACUACACCUAAAAUGUGCACUUUGAUGUGUAACGAAACUUCAACUUCGAGCUUCCAAUAUAUAUAGUCUAUGUGAGAAUAACUAUAUCUCUAGUUAUCUUCUUCUAUAUUAAAUGGUUUAUUUCAUCAUAAUUAAGUGAAUAAGGUAAAAGCCACGGAAAUAAGAACGAGAAACCUUGAGGAAUAAGGAAGCUCACAAGUCACAUGCAUGUAAACAUAUAUAGAUAUAUAUCAAGUUUAUUUUUUUGACUUAAUUUUGGAACUUUACUACGAGUAGAUGAGGAAAGCACCAGAUUUGGCAAUAUAAGCUAGUUCAUUAAGAUUUGGAAGUGUGAUUUUUGGGGAAAUGUAUGAGUAAUUAAUUAAUCAACACCUGCAUUUGAGUUUGCCGAAACUGAGCCUUCAUUUCAACAUCUCUGCUUCAAAAAUACCAACUGUAACACACCAUAAGCUAUGCAACUAUGCAAGAAAUUGUUGUUAUUAUUGGACCACAGUUGAGAAAACAAUCAGCAGGAUUCCUUCCCCUACUUUCAUCUUGAUUAUGACUUUUACUUGGAUUUUUGGUUAGAUUUAAUGCUUUUCAACACUGCUUGACUUCAAUAACAUGAGUUGAGGGACUUUCAUAGAUUAAUAAUGGAUUCAACGUCAUUUGAUUUUUUUGCAAAGAUUGUGUAUCUUUGUCAGCCAACACAUAAAAUAAUUAAGAAAUGCAUGUUUUUGAGCUUUUAGUUAAUCAAAAGUAUGAAUUGAUGACUCUUUUUAAGUAGAUGCGGAAUGUGGAUAUAAUGUUUUUUUUUUACUUGUUCAAAUCUAGCUCUCCCCAUUAGGUUGUGGCGCGUGCAGUACACGCGAGUUUGGAGCGUGGGGAACUGGACAGGAUAUACCCACGUACAGCUUCUGGUAGAUGUGGCGUACGUGAAUUUUAGAGUUUGCAUUUUAUUCUUUGCGACAAACAUCGUCGAUCGAUUUCACCACAAAAUAUGGGAGGAUGCCUUCUCUAUCCGCAUUCCGUUCUUCAAUUUCCGUCCGUCUCUGCAUUCCGGAAACCAUAUUUUCCGAUUAGAGGUAUAAUCUCGGCUUAUCUCUUCCGUUAUUUGUAUGCCCUAAUUUUCGAUUACGUUAAUUCGCCGCUGUGUAGUCUCGUUCUUUGGCAAAUUGCAGUAGGUAUUCGUUGGCUGUGUUGCUAAUUCAUUUGGGUGGUAGUAGGCUCCUUUAGGUUUUACGUUGGAAGAUAACGAAAAUUUUAGUACUAGUUUUGGUGAAGAACCCCUCAAUCUGCUGGCCAAACGGCCUUCAUUUCUGCAAAUCCCGUUUCAUACUGCCCAAGAGUUAUCAAUCUCAAGGAAUUUGGUGCAUUAGGUCAUUACAUUAUCAAAGCACUGCAUUUUAGUAAUAUAGGGUAUGCUCCUGAUAGGUGGAUAUAGUUUUUACUCCAUAAAUUCAUAGUUUACACUUGGUGAAUAGUCAAUGUAGCAUAUAGCAUAGUUUACUAGGUAUAGCACUUGCAUCAAUCUCUUGUUUUUGCCCUGGUUAUGAUUUGCACUUGGGGACUUCAAUAGAACUGUGAAUCUCUUACCAAUUUUGCUAAUGUAUGUUUAUUCGUUAGCACUUUCAUGUGAAUCUGCUUCCAACACCAAACUGAGGUAUCAUUUCUUGAUGCAGCUUGUUCAAUUUGGCAGAAAUAUCUGAUCGAUCUUUGGUAUUGAGCGUAAGAGCUGACGAUGGAAAGAAAGGGAGGCAUAAAAAGAACCCUUAUUCGGGAAGGGCACCUAAAACAGAGGGGGCAGAUGAUACUGCUCAGUCUUUUGAGGGUAAAUCAUCUCUGUCGCCUAACAAGGAAGAAAUCCUAGCCCUCUUUAAGCGAAUACAAUCCUCUAUCUCCAAAGGGGAGACUGUAAAUCCCAAGAAGAGAACUUCCAAGACUGUUGAAGAUAAGCCCUCACCCUCGGCUGAAUCAAUUCUCGAAGUUCUUCAUCAAUCAAGAACACAACGUAAAGGUUAGGCUGAUAUAUACUUUUUUAGCAGAGAGAAUAUAGGGUUCGUGCCAAUAAUCAGAUUUGUGAUGUUAAUUAUGUGGAUUGUCACCAUCAUCUACUUGGAAAUCUUGAUUUAUCUGAAGUUAGUGUUUGUUCCAUGACAGGGAAAUCUGUUGGCAAGAAAGGUGAUAAGUUCCUUGACACUCAAAAGGAAUCUCUGAAGGAGGAGAGUGCUGCAGAGCAUAUAUCAACAAGGCCGCCAUCAAGUUUCACCCGGAGGUCUCCGAUACCCUCUCUGUCGAGCCCUAGAGAACAAGUUCAGUCGGGAAAUGAAACAAUACCAGCGACACCCACUGAGCUGACAAAUGAAAUAUCAGAAUCAAUAGACGACGACAGUGAUCAUCAAGCCAUGAAGUUGGCGGAGAUGAAACUUCCUCAGCUAAAAGAAGUUGCCAAAUCCAAAGGGAUCAAGGGUUAUUCCAAACUCAAAAAGAGUGAGCUCGUGGAGCUCCUAAUCAAGUCGCUGACCGACGCCUCUCCGUGAACAGGAGGCCAUUUCAGUUGUUCAAUGACCAUUAAUCCUUGACUUCCAUUCCCCCCUUUUUCAUUUCCAUAUUCGUUAAUUUGUUGAAGGGUGCUUUAGUUUGUUAAGAAUUCUUCAAUUCACUCCAAAAAAAAUGAGUAUUUGAUAUAGCCAUUGCUGAUUUUGUGAUGAUGCUUGAUUGAACACACAAUAUCAAGAAUCAAAAUGAAGCUACUGAGAGUGUUGAUAUUAAUUUAGGGAAAUGCAGAUUAAAUCAGAACAAAUUAACCCGAAAAAACCAAGGGAGAAUGAAUGCUAUAACUAGACAAGCCAUCAAGAAAUUACAAAGCGGCUGGCCCUGCAAACAUCGUCUGCUUUCAUCUGAUGUGCCGUUGCUCCCAUCGCUCCAUCUCCUCUCGUUCCACUCCGCCAUGAAACUGCUGUGGCCAACACCACUUAUAUUUCUUGCAGCCUCGCCACAUAUUUCACACAAUCUACAACCCCAAUUUCAAGAAUCACAUCAACCAAAAGAGAAAUCAACCAAGCUAAACAUUUAAGGCAAGACAGAGUUACCUAUUCCCUUUAACUCUAAACCAAGCCUCGGCGCAUUGCAAGUGAGCAAAUCCAAGCUCACCUUUACAUCCGCAGCCAAGCUCGAUCAACUCAACUGCGCUCUUGCCAAUGUCCUUUGCACUCAAAUGGCAUACUCUACAGACCUUCUCAUUGAGCUCGAUCAUCGAGCAAGACGAACACGCCUCGUUUCCACCUUCCAAGUCACUGCCGCCUAUUGCAUCACAGUUUCCAAAUUUCUUGAACUACCACAGUCUUGUUCUUGAUCCAUUGGCCUCUCUCACACAACCAAAUGACAAAAUGCAGAUGAGUUAUACAUACUUUUCUUGACCAAUGGGAAGGCAAAACGUGGAGGGGUGGUGGUGGAGUUCCAUUAUUGAUAAAACAAGUAUGAGAAAUAUGUAGACAACAUUAUUUGAUCUGGGAUAUCAGUCUGUCGCUCUCAAAACCACCCCUUGCCUUGAAAGUUGACUUGUCUCUCUCUAAUCUACAUAUUUUUUGAGAAGCUAUCUAAUAUGUAGAGAACAACUUAUUCUGUCAGAGAUUAUUAAAUGCUAUAAAGCACGCAUGAUAAAUAACAAAUUCUGAAGCAGACAUGAAUUAUUGGGUUGUUAUAAGUUAUCCCCUUGGUGAAGUCUAAUUCGAAUUGUUUACUUACCGUGUGUGCACAGAAUACACCAAUAAACACACAAUAUAUAUGCAAAUAAAAGACUGUUUAGACAACUGUAUUUCUGUAUAAUGAUUGGUGCCGAACCCGGAAUUGGCUGCCAUACAAUGCAAUCGUAUUUUGAGAGAGAGAGAGGGUGAAGCAUGUGAUUUUGGACUUUUAUUUUUCUAUGCAAGUAUUUCCCAGUUGUACACGUCUCGAAUAAUUGAAUUAAUCUUCAUUAUCUGUCCUUUACGUGACAGCUUAAUGCCAUCAGUAUGGAUAUAUAUUCCAACUCCUAAGAAAAGUUUACACCAAACAUGGUAAAUAUUGAUAUAUUUUUUCGAGUUUUCGAGAUAUUUUAAGGAGACGUUUACUUUGAAGGAUUAGUCUUGAUAGAUAAAAAUAUUAAGUUUAAUUCAUUGUUUACUUUGAUGGAUACAAACUUUAGGAUAUCCCAAACCUCUUUAUUAUUUAUUACUAGUACGUCCAUCCGUGCGAUGCACGAUAAAAUCGAAAUUAAAUGGCAUUUUAAAUAAAUAAAUAUAAAUAUUAAACAUAAUCAAAAUAUAAAUAAAUGCAAAUAUGAUUUAAAAAUAAAAUAUCAAUAACUCAAUAAAAUCCCGAAUUUAAAAACAUAAUUUUCAACUAUGUAUAAAGUGUAAUGAUAAUUAUAGUCACUAAAUAAUUUUAAAUUAUUUGAUAACAAAAUUAAUAUACACAUUAUUAUUAUAUUCUAAAUAAAUAAAAAAGUUGUAAAAUUUUAACAAAGAGAAAGAAUAUAACAUAUUUUAAAAUUUUAAUAACAUAUUCGUUUUGAAUUCAUUUUUGAUGAUUUUUAUACCAUAUUAAAGAUCUUGUUACGAACUUAAACUUAAAACGCAUAUUGAAUAUUUAUUCAUAAAUUAAAUUUGAUGACAUUUAGAAAAUAAUUAAAAUUAUAUAAAAAAGAUAAAACAAAUAGUGAAAAAAUUGAUGGGAGAAGAGAGAGAAAACUCCUCUUUUAUAUACUCCCUCCGUCCCGUCCAAGACGCUACAUUUGCUUUUCGGCACGGGAUUUAAGAGCAUCCGCAUUGGGACCUCCUUGAUAGCCUCCUUGAUAGCCUCCUUGAUAGUGUUUGUGUUAUUGAGUAGGUAGUGCUGCAUUGGGGUUCCUUGAUAGCCUCCUUGAUAAUAUUAGUUUUGAUUUUAUGUUUUUCAUUUAAAUUUUAUUUCUCAAAUUUAAAUAACACAAUUUAUUACAAAUUUANAUAAUAUAACUGAAUAACGCUAAGAAGAAACUAAAUCAAGUUCACUUGAGCUACUACUAUAUCAAUUUCAUUUAUUAAGAUAUUCAACAAAAAAUUAACUCAAAAAUAUUUGGCCCAUUCCAAUACAUAAAAUUACUUGAGGUUUUCAUUUGCAAAUAUUUCGCUUAUAGAACACGUAUAUUUACAAAAAUUUAUUUAACAUUUAAUAUUACAAAAUUCUUAAUUUGAACUCUUAUUUCGCAAAAUUACUAACCAAAAUUUGAACUCUUAUUUCGCAGCCUUAAUAUUGCUACUAAAUAAUUAUUAUUGUUCACUAAUAGUAAAGAAAGAUAAUAAUGAAUAUGUAAAUCAUAUUUACAAAUAUAUUAAUUAUCUAUGGGCCAAAACAAAAACGUUUAUGUGCUAUACUGGGCCAAACAAAAUAACAGGCCAAAAAAACAAUUGGGCUCAAUCUGUUUUAUACCAUUUCAAAUUUUAUACUAAUAUUUUAAAGUCUUUAUAAUAUUAUAAUAAAAAAAUUAAAUAUUAUACUUCUUCUAACUAAAUAAUAUAAAUGCUUUUUUAUACAUGUAAAAUAUAAUUUAUAUUAUUUUUAUAGUAAACAAAAACAUUUAAAUAUUACAAUUUUGCUAAUUAAAUAAAAAACAAUUUCUAACUAAAUUCUUCUAACUAAAAUUUAGAAUAGAAUUUAUACUAUAGAAUUUGUAUUUUACUACCACUUAUUAAUACCGAUUCUUAUUAUUUUAAAUACAAAAUUAAAUAUUAAAUAUUAAUACCGAUUCUUACUAAACCUUUAUGUAAUUAAACGUUGUAAACAAAAAGGGAGGGAAAUUUACUACUCAUUAAUUAAAACCACUUAGAGCAUCCGCAAUGGGGUUCCUUGAUAGCCUACUUGAUAGCCUACUUGAUAGUGUUUGUGUUAUUGAGUAGGUAGUGCUACAUUGGGGUUCCUUGAUAGCCUACUUGAUAAUAUUAGUUUUGAUUUUAUGUUUUAUUUAAUUUUAUGCAUAAUUUAAAUAACACAAUUUAUUCAAAUUUAAAUUGACAUUAAUUAUAAAAUCCUAAAUAUUACAUAAAACUUUAAUAAAAUAAAAACAAUUCAUAAAAAUUAACUACUCUGGCCCUAGAGGUCCGAAACGUGCCCAAAGGUGCUCAAUCAAAUCAUAUCGGAGCUGAGCAUGUAGUUGCCUAUCUCGGAGAAGGCUAUCCCUUCGCACAUAUUCCUCGAAGGCACCGUGUUUGUCCAGCACUCUCCGUCGAACCACUGCUAGAUGCCCGUCAUCAUCUCUCCAGUUGGCAGCUGCUUCACCUUCGUGCUCCACAAUCAUGUUGUGGAGAAUGAUGCAACACAACAUGAUGUCCUUCAGGUGCUCUACGUACCAAUUGCGCGCCGGACUUCGAAUGAUUCCCCACCGAGCUUGAAGGACUCCGAAGGCGCGUUCCACAUCUUCCGUGCCGAUUCUUGCAUCUUCUUGAACCUUGCCUCCUUCGGAUUGUGCCAUUGAUGGACUCUUCACGAAGCAACGCCACUCCGGAUAUAUGCCGUCACACAAAUAGUAGCCCAUCCGGUAUUCGCGCUGGUUGGCAUGAAAGCCACCGGCGCCGCAGUUCCUCCUAAACGUCGGAGAAGAGAGGAGCUGAUUCAGCACAUUGAGUCGUUGUUUGAACCAGCGACGCCGAAGAAGGCGUGCCAAAUCCACAAAUCGAAGAGGCAACGCCUCCAAUAUCAAGGUGGGCUCUCCCUGAUCCCCGCGUGUGUAUGCGCCGUGCCACGCCUUUGGGCAGUUCUUCCACGCCCAAUGCAUGCAGUCUAAGCUCCCGAGCAUCCCGGGAAAACCAUGUCUCGCCUCGUGCAUUCGGAUAGGCGUUGCACGUCUGUUGCGUUGGACGGCGCAGGUAAUGGGCUCCAAAAGCCCUAUGACCGCCUUGCAGAACUUCUUUAGGCAUAGACGACCGGUUGAGUCCGCCACUUUGAGAUACUCAUCGAACACAUCCGACACUAACCCCGGUGGCUAAUUGGCGGAUAGCCGACGUGCAUUUCUGCAAAGGAGAAAGAGAAUCUCGACCGAGUGCAUCAGUGCUCAUAUGAAAGUAAAUAUCUUCACCUUGAACAGCAUCGACGAUGCGCAAGAAGAGCUCCUUCUGCAUGCGAAAUCGACGCCGGAAAAAAGUAGGGCCAUACGUUGGAUUGUCGACGAAGUAGUCUUGCAUAAGACGUACAUGGGCCUCUUCACGAUCACGGUGGACGUAUGAUCGGGGACGUUUCGCACGCGCCGGCUCCGGCGCCGGUUGGGGGUAGUAUGAUUGAAGCACUUGUUUCUGCAACUCAACCAACUCCAUGAACUUUUCAGCGAUUCGUCGGAAUCGGGCGAUGAAUCAUGUUCAGGUGACGACAUUUUUGGAAAAAAAUUGUAGGAGGAAGAAGAAUGAGUUGUGAUGAAUGAAAGUGAGUUGUGAUGAAUGAAUUGUAGGUGAAUGAGUUGUAGGGAGAAGUAUUAUUUAUAGAGAAAAAAAAGAAUUAAAAAAAAAAAGGAAUGAAGAAUAGCGUUAGAAAGAGCGUUAGGAAAGAAAAAAAUAAAAAAAAAUAAAUAAAUAUAAUUAAUAAGUAGUUUUUUUUUUUUAUUAUGGCGGUGCAAGCACGCGCCUACUCGAGGCUCCUCGAUAACUCGGAUCCUCGAGGACCCACGCGCAUCGCCCUCCUCGAAGCCCCAUCUCCUCGAGACCCUCGAGUACCCGCGAUGCGGGUGCUCUAAGGAGUUGUAGAUUAAUGUUUUAAGUGUGUAAUAAUAAAGUGAUAAAGUAGGAAAGAGAAAGUAAUAAAGUGAUAAAGUAAGAAAGAGAAGGUAAUAAAGUGAUAAAGUAGGAGAGAGAAUGUAAUAAAGAAAUACUUAAUUAGUGUUAAUUAAGUGUUUAAAAUUCCUUAUUUUUGCCAAAUAUAGAAAUGUAGCAUCUUCGUUGGGACGACCCAAAAAGGAAUAUGUAGCAUCUUGGGACGGAGGGAGUAUUAUAUAGAUUUAAAUUAGUUUUGCUUGAUUCUUAUUUCAUUGAAAAUGUAUGAUUAGAGAAAUCCUACCAUUGAUAAUAAAAUAAUUUUUCAGAAUAAGAAGCGGAUUUGAAUUUUUAUUUUUUUUUAUUAUUAAGAAAUACUAUAAUUAUAUUCCCGAUUGAGUUGGCAUGCCCCAACCCAAAAUAAGAAGGCAGUUUUGGGUUGGGCUGGGCCGAAGAAUUUGAGGCCCAACGAAAAACGGAGGGAAGUUCAACCAAAUAGGGCGGUAGUUGAGUUGAGUCAGUUGAAAAGGGCCCGCGAAAGACACGUGUCAACUUUGUGCUAGGCGAGAAUGAGUGGCCGCUUCAACUUCAAGGGUUGUUCUUUUUUUUUUCUAUGUUGCGCUCAUCGUUCAAAUUCUUCAAAAUAAAGCAUGGAGAUUUUUUUUUAAGAAAUAUAUGAUGUUCGGUGAGGCGUUGCUUUUGCCAAUGUGAUUUAUCGUCUGUUUUAGUUUUGAAAAUUACAUAAUUAUUAAACUCAUAAAUACACUAAUAAAUAUAAUGAAUUUACUUUGCACUUUGUAUGUUGGUUUGAUCAAUUUCCAUACCUUUAACGUAACAGUCGGCAACAACUGAAACUUAACUUGCAAUCUCUGCUUAUUCUUGAUGUUUCUCCUUCAUCUAAUCUACUGCUCCAUUUUCCCACCCAACUUCCAUUUUUUCCUCAUGAGCUAGUGGAACCAAGUUACACACACACACACACAAAAGAAAAAAGGAAGAAAGAAAAUCAAAGCUACGAGGCAAGGUGCUUUGGUUUGUUCGUGAAUUCUAAGGUUGAUAAUAUGUCUAAAGAUUAGUUUAUUUAUUUGGGGCGGCGGUUACUAGGAAUUUUCUGUGCAAUGGUGGAAUAAGAAAGUUGUGAUCUUAGCUAGAAUUCUAAGAAGUUUUGAAGAGAUGGGAAAGCAAGGCCCUCGUCCCAAUUCUUUAAGCUUUGAUGCUUCAUCUGGAUUGAAGGAAUAUGAGUUGAGAUGGAGUGCGAUGCUGCUCAACGGCGACCCUUCUCGAGGUAGGGACAGAGCUGUGUUAGUUAAAGGAUUCAAGAAUGAGUAUGCCAAGUUCAGUGCUAGUAAAGGAGUUCACAGUGGCAAACGCCACGCGUGGUGGCUUCGUAGGCACAUGAGAUCUGUUAUAUUCACCUUGGCGUUGCUCGGAUUCUUUCUCGUGUUAGAUUCAUUUAUGUUUUCCUACUUUGAUCCCACUUUUCUCAACAACUCCCCCACACCACCACAAGCUCAUGCACCAAAGGUAAUAAAACAGAUGGGAAUAUCCAUGGCAGUUGAGUUCAUUUCAGCUGCAUUUAUAUUGUCUGUGUAUUUUGUAGGACAUAAAUGCUGCAGAUGAUGCAAAUGGAAAAGGGCCUGUCAUGUACUCUCGGCUGGUGCAGAUGGCGUCCGUUUCACUUGCAAAGGUCUUGAUUCAAAACCUAGGAUUCUUACUCAUGAUGUUCUGAGUUGAAACUUGAAAGAUGCAUUAAGAUUGGUUUGUUUGCUCUACAGAGAGAUUUAGAACAAAAAGUUUCCAAGUUUUGGAAGGAAACACAUCAUGAGGCAUCCACUUGGAGACCCUGCGCGGAUAAGAACCAGAAAAGGUGCAUCUAUGUCCUAAUUUGUGUCCAUGCUUCAAAUCUUGUUUAACCAUUCAUGUUUGUCAGGGCAGGGACGGCAAAAAACACCACCGGCUUUGUGCUGGUCAGUGCAAACGGGGGCCUAAAUCAACAGAGAGUCGCUGUACGUGCAUUCAUGACUGUCUGCAGCUCAAGAUUGUGGACUGAUUAUUUGCAUUGUGAGUUGAGAGAUUUUAGGCUUUUAUCUAUUGUUUGUCUUAGUCUUUUGCUGCUGGCAAUUUGUGCAGGUAUGUAAUGCUGUUGCUGUGGCAUCUCUACUAAAUGCAACAUUAGUAAUUCCCAAAUUUCUUUAUAGCAAUGUGUGGAAGGAUCCCAGGUGACUAUGCACUUGUUAUUUUCAUUAUUCCACUCUUCAAGUUUUAUCUACAAUGGUUAUUUGCAGCCAGUUCAGUGAUAUUUAUCAAGAGGAGACCUUUAUGAACAUGCUGAAGGAUGAUGUAGAUAUUGUAAAGGAGCUCCCUCCUCAUCUGAAAUCGACUGAUUUUGAGGCCGUUGGCAGUCUAGUACGUCGUCUAUUCAACCUUUGCAGUAGCAACAACUGGUUUCUGCAUAAAAACUGUCUUUAACUUAAAUUCUGUUUUUCAGGUGACAGAUGCAGACCUUUCAAAGGAGGCAUCACCUGAAGAUAUAUACGAAAAUAUUUCCCAUAUUAUCCGUAAUGGAGUUGUUCAUUUCCUGGAUUUGGCAAUAGACUUGGCUUCGAAUCAUGCCUUCUGAUCUACAGGUGAAUCGACACAAUGCCAUUUUCGUUCACUCGUCUCCUUGUCUUUACUGUUGUUUCUGAUGGGGNAAUGGAAACGUAAGUGCAGAAACUCAGAUGCAAAUGCAAUUCCAUGCAUUAAAGUUCGCACCAAAAAUUCAGAAACUCGGAGCCUUAUUGGUGAAGAGGAUAACAACUAUGGAGCUUCAAGAAGCUUGUUGGACAGACAGCUUCUUGGAAGAUUCAUUUCAACGGAGCGCAUCAAGGCAGCAAAUCCUUCCAAAUAUCUUGCAUUGCAUUUGAGGUUUGAAGUUGACAUGGUGGCCUAUUCUAUGUGUGAUUUUGGGGGUGGAGAGAGAGAGAGAAGACAGCUCCAAGCAUACAGAGAAGAGCAUUUCCCUCUGCUUCUCCAGCGUUUGAAGAGAGCAAAGUAAUGAAACACAAAAUGUCAAAUCUUGUAGCUUUCCUUAUACUACUAAAAAACUUUUUCCCUUGAAUGGCUGCUGCAGACCUCCUUCUCCCACAGAACUGAGGAAGAUAGGGAGAUGCCCUCUUACACCAGAAGAAGCUGCACUUGUUCUAGCUGCUCUUGGAUUCGACCGUGGAACUUACAUCUAUCUUGCUGGAUCCCAAAUCUACGGGGGCGAAUCGAGGAUGCUUCCCCUAGUCAGCCUCUACCCCAAUCUGGUAACAAAAGAGGAUCUCCUCUCACCCACUGAACUCCAGCCUUUCAGGAAUUUUUCAUCUCAGGUAAAAAAGAGAAGGCUUUUUGCUUUUUAACAUACAAAUUUGAUGAGUUGCAUGAAUAUUGAUUUCUUUGUUGGUUAAUUGAUGCAGCUUGCAGCAUUAGACUUCAUUGCAUGCGGCGUUUCUGAUGUAUUUGCCAUAACGGACUCGGGGAGUCAGCUGUCGUCCCUUGUGUCUGGUUUCCGGACAUAUUAUGGUGGAGGAGAUGCCCCGACGUUGAGGCCGAGCAAGAAGAGGCUGGCAGCCAUCUUGCAAGAGAACAGCACCAUCAGGUGGCAUAGUUUCGAGAAGAGAGUGAGGAAGAUGAUCGAGGAAGGCCAGAGAGUGACUCUCAGACGCCCCGGCAGAAGCAUUUAUCGACAGCCUAGAUGCAGAGACUGUAUGUGCAGUGAUGAUGAGGAUCAAUAGUAGUUCAUAUUCUGUCACAUUCAUGAUUAAUAAAUAAUCUUCCUGUGUAAUUUUGAGAGGAUAAUGAGAUUAAAUUUUGUGCUUGAUUGAUGAUUGCCUAAAACACACACAUUGGAUGGAUUAAACUGGAAUUAACCCAAGCAAAUGAAAAAAUUAGUUGACAGGGUGAUUCUGUCACAGUGACAAAAAACAUGUGAUCAUGAUGGAGGGAAGAAUCUGUUGAGAUUGAAAGGGAGGGUGUAGAACUCCUCGUUGCGAGUGUCGCCUUUGAAGGUUCUGAACUUGGCCCACCAAGGCAUGCCGCGCUCCUUGGCGCUGUCCUUGUAGUCGAGGGUGUUGUCGAGGAAGACAGAGACGAUGAGCGCCACGGUGGGGGACGACAAGAAUAUGGUGUUGAGGAGAUCAUUGAACCAUCCAGCCUUGGUGUGAGCAGGCCCAUGAAGAGCAGCACUUGUGUAUUCUCUGAAGUACUCGGGGAUCGACAGCCCCAAGAAGAGUGACACCCCAACUAUGAACAGGUUCCUCAUCGAGUUCAUGUUCGUGAACUGCAAGAACGACAGCCCCACCGAAGCUGCAACAAACCAUUCAUUCACAUUUUGCCUUGUAACAACAACAACGACGACAACAACAACAACACGAAGAUAAUACUCACCAACAAGCCCGAACAUAACGCAAUAGAUAGCUGCAAAUAUAGUGAAAGGUAUUGAUGCAAAUAGUGCACCAAACUUCCCUGCACACACCAUUCAAACAUGUCUUCAGAUUUUGAUGGAUAUGACGAUGAUGAUGAUGAUGAUGAUGAUGAUGAUGAUGAUAGGCUUACCUAGAAUAGCAAAGAAGAUCAUGAAACCAGCCGAUAUUUGGAUUACACGUCGACUGCCAACUCUAGUGCUUCCAAGAAGGCCAACAUUCUCACUGUCUUGUUUAGAGAGAGGUGAGACAAAGUUAUAGACCAAUCAAUCCCAUUGAGACAGAUUGAAAAGACUUACACAGAAACUGUGGAACCAGUAAGAGUCCCGAACAUUCCAUCCAGCAGGAUCCCGAGGCCCUGCCACCCAAUCCCGCGGCUAAGAACAUGAGCAGGAGGCGGCGUCGCACUUGCCAAACGAGAUGCUGCCUUGUACGCUCCGGUUGACUGCACCACAAGAUUGAGUUGAGAGAGCCAACACCAAAUUACAAAAAGAAAAAAAAAUAGCAGAUUAUUAUUAUUACUGACCUCAAUCAUGGAGACUAGUACAGCAGCCAUCAUUCCAAAUGCAUGGCCAGCAUCAAAUGUAGGUGCACCCCACUGAAGUGGAUAUGGGAUCUUGAUCCUAUUUCAAUGAAGAAGAGAUAUAUGAGUUUCCCAUUUCAUCAAAUAUGGUGUUAUGUAUAUGUUAAUGAGCUAACCAGGGUGCAGAAGAGAUGAGGUUAGCUUUGUCUGUGCGGCAAUUCCUCUGAGUUAACUCGGGAUGAUGCUUGUAUGCGCCGCUUGCUGUUAGGAGGUGUGCAUAAGCCCAUAUAACUGUCACCGACAGCAGAAGAGCAAACCGCUCCAACACAGGGAUCUCUCUUGUUUGGAAGUGCUUCAAGUACUAUUCAACAAUAAACAACCCCUUUUUAGCAUCCACCAUCAUUCUUUAUUUACUACCAAAUACUAUUGACAUCUCACAUUACCUGAGAGAAGGCAAUGAAUAAGAUCAGCAUUGGAAUGCCGAUUUCCACGCAUCGUCCAACCUGAUAAACACUUGAUCAGUUACACUUAUCAAGAAGGUGAAACUCAAACAUUGAACAUACCACUGGAAAGCCUCUAUCAAGAAGACCAAAUCCCACUAGAGAAAUAACUGGAACCAUCCCAAGUGGACUGAAAAACCUGAAGGAAACAAUAAAAGAAAGUAAAGAAACCAUUUUUAUUUCAAUUAACUCGAGAAAUAAGAGUUGCUACGUAUAGUAUGCUUUAUUAUCUGAGUACAUACCUGGAACAUAUAGCCCACAGCUGACUAUAGCCCAAGAUAAUCUGCACGCUCGAAGCUACAAUCAAUGCUCCUUGUAUUGCUCUCAUUGUAUUCAUAAAUCUCUACAAGUAGCAAACAUUCAAAUUAAUCCAUAAUUAGUAAGUAGAGCAGAAAUACACAAGUUGGUUGUAUCAAACAUACCACAUGAGGGUCUGUGAUUCUUUCCAAAGAUGGAUCAUGGAUUAUUGAAAUUAUAGGCACCAUGAAUGCCCAUGACCCUCCUAUAACAGUAGGUAACCUGGUUCCGAACAAAGUCUGCAGCAGUGUGUUUAUUCCUCCAACAAAUAGCAAUGUCUGAACCACUCUCACUUUAUCAUCCUAACCACAACCAAAAAAAAAAAAUACAUAAAUGCCUAAAACAAACUGUGCCUUCACGAUUAAGUAUAUGAAAUAGUGGAUUACAUACAUCGGUUCCGCCCAUCAACGGUACAAGAAAGGUUGGAAUCAUGACCGCCGUUCCCAACGCCAAAAUAUAAUGCUGAAAUCCAAGUGCUGUUGCUUCCCCUGUUUUCAUAUGCUUAAAUUAUUAAUACAAAAAUUGUUGAUGAAUUCCGACGAAAGGAACAAGGAAUGGAAGAGGGAUCAUCGUAUUCGUACCCCAAGAAGGAUUAGAAUCGAUGCAAUACUCCAAGCCUUGGAGUUGGUCCAUCGGUGGAUGACUUAUUUCCUCUGGUUUUGGAGCAGCCAUCACUGCUAACUGAGCUCACUCACUCUCUCUCUCCCUCUCAACUUUCCUAAAGGGAUUCAACAAAUCAAUAAUAGAGGAAGAUGUAGUGAUGCAAAACAAACAAAGUCUUGGUUUGCAGUAAUGCGGUGUGAGCUCGUGAAUUAGAUAUCCAAAGUGGGGGAAGAAAAGCAAAAGGAGGAAUGAAUACAGAAAAAGAAAAGCAGAAAAAGUUGACACAGGUAAUGAGACAGUGAAUGUGAUUGGACCGUAAUCUUGUGUAUAUAUAUGAAGGAGUAGAGGAGUGUGAGUGAGAGGGCAAUCGCAAAGCCCACUCUUUGAAGAGUUUCUUGAUUUUGCUUUUUUGUAAUUUUCACUUUAUUUUGACAGUGAAUGUUCCGUUAACCUGCCAUUAAUUCCGAUAUUGCCCCUCGAGGAACUGCCAAACCAGAUGUUACCGUUAGACCCUGGAUUUCUGACUCUACUUAUCCUUUUUUCUUUUCUUUUGCUGACUGUGUAUCUCUUCAUUUAUUUUUCAUUCUUUUAUUUGGUGAGCUCUACUUAUUUAGUAACUUUACAAAAUUCGGGAGAUUUUGAAUGCUACAAGGAAUGUAUAGUUUGCAUGAUUAAUACUCCCUCCGUCCACUUCCUCCAAAAAAAAAAAAACUCCCUCCGUCCAUCAAAAAUAGUCUUAAAGAUGACCGACACGGGUUUUAAUAAAAAUAAUUAUUGUAUUGUGAGUGAAUAAAGGAUCUCACUUAAAUAGUUGUGUUUAUAAUGAUAAUUAAUUGUAUUGUGGGUGAAUAAUAGAAACUAUCAUGUGAUAAAUAGUUUCCAAAAAUGAAAAUGAAGUAGUUUUUAUGGACAUUCCAAAAUGGCAAAAAUUGACUAUUUUUUGUGGACGGGGUGUAAGAUGUAUGAUUGAGCAUUUCUAUACUUAACAGUAGAGUUUCUUCAAUUUCAUAUUUUUAAUAAGAUAAAAAUCAAAUAAAAUUAACUUAAAUGAUCGAAAUAAUUAAGGCAUUGAAUAUCUCAAAGUUCUAAUCUAUCAAAGUAAACAAGAGAUAAACGCUCAAAAAAGAAGGAAAUGGAGUUUUUAUUUUUUUAGAAUAAUAUUGAUAAGUGAAUUUUAUUCAAUUACACCAUCAAAUAAAGCUUAAAAUGUCAUCAACUGCUCGCAGAGAUUUUGUAUAAUUUAACAGCAUGUGAAAAGAUGGUGGAAAAGAUUGGAUUUUUGUAGAAAAUACGGAAUUUACUUUGUGAUUGCCAAAAGUUGAAAAGAUUCUUUCGACGUAAUAAUAGUAUUGUAUUAGGUUGAUUCCGAUUAAAUUACAAUCUAAUCCGACGGUGUGAACCACGGAUCAAAAUAUCAACGUCUCUCUCGCCACUGGAAACACAAAAAACUGCUUUGGUAUUCGAGCUCCUCUGUUGUUAUUUGCAAUCUCUCUCUCUCUCUCACUACUUUGGUUGCAGACCGAAGGCGAAAUUCAUGGCAUUUAAGCCUCCUCUCUCUCAGCCCAACAAACAAUUCAAAGAAAGUGGCCCACUAAUGCUACUCCACUUUGUCAUUUUUUUUCUUUUUCUUAUUUAAAUGUGAAAAUGGUAAAACCAACAAUGGCAUCGAUAUUGCAAAUUUUACUUGGCAAUCAUGACAUUUUGGGCAGUGUUUAUUUGGAUUUUGAGUACGUAUGGUGGUAUUCGUACGGCUAUAAUUGAAUCAUUAUGAAAAUUACGGGUCGCCAGCAUAGACAUGCGUUAUGCCAUACAAAUUGAAUUUAUUCAGACUAUAUAGUACACUACUUAAAGCAGAAAGAUCAUCAAGAAACUGCGCGCAAUUUUAUUUUUAUUUUAAAAUGAAGAGUAAUUGGGAGAAAUUGAGGUUUCAAUUAUUAUUGUGUAUAAAUAGUUGAUAUUAGGUACAAUUUUUACAUAACUAUUUUUCUAUGUACUCGAGUACGUGUCAUUUUGACAAAAAAAAAGUCUUGAACCUGAAUAAGUUCUGAAGAUAUGCUUAUUUUGUUCGGCAUGAAUUUUAAUAAAUAUUAUUUUCGUCUCAUUUAUCUUGACACAUGUGUUUUGGACACGAAGAUUAAAAAUAAAGGGUUAAAAGUAUAAAAUGGAUAGGGUCCAUUUAUUUUAUGUGUAUAAAGAAGCUAGAGAUCACAUACUAUUUUUGAAAAGUGUCAUUAUAAAUGGAAUAAAUUAAAAAGAAAAUUGUGCCAAAAUAAGUGGGACGGAUGGAGUAUUAGAAAAAUGCAAAAUUGUCCAUUUUUUGUGAAUGGAGUAGAGAAAUAAUAGUGAGUCUUAAUAACGGUGGUGUCAUAUCCAAAAAUGGAUUGUGCAUACUUUUGGUAGGUGUUUGGUUUGAGUGACAAGGCAUGACUGAUAAAAUUAUUCAAUUUAAUUAGGUAUUUGAGAUGCAUGAUUGAACAUGUGAUCGAUAACUCAAGCCUGCAUCUGAUCAUUCAAAUGAGUAAAUUAUUUAUCACCCUCCUUAUAGGAUAAACAAAAAAAAAGGGAGCAUUAUAUUUUAAAAUUCAAUGCAUAACAAAAUGAUGUAAAACUUGCUUUUCCGCUUGUUUAAUUUUCCAUUACUAUCAUAAUAUUGCAAACUCUUCAUAUUUUUCAUAAUAAUUAGAAACAAAAGAGCAAAUUUCCUUACAUUGAUCCUCCAACUUCGGCCUCUUACUUAAAGGCAAAGAGAAAAGACGUGCUUAGGGAGCGGCCAUCUUCACAGUGGGUGGAAAAAGAGUGCACUAAGGUUAAAAANAACAAUGUACAACAACUAGCAAUAAAUAUAAAGUAGGAGAUUGGUUUGAUAAAAAANAAUAAAGUAUGAGAUUGGUCUUCUUUUCUGCUUUGAUUCCAUAUCAUCAAUGAUGGCAUUUGACUGCUGACAGUGACACAAGAUGGAUAUAGAACCAAUUACAACUCAUCAUGACACAAAACACACGAACAGCAUUGGCCCAGAAAAUAUAUCUCUGAAAGAUUAUAUAAACCAAGGCAAUAAAUUUCACAAAAUCAACAACCGUUGAAAAAUUAAAUAGCAAAACGUUACCUGAUACUCACUGAACUAUCCCACCCCAAAAAUUGUUCCGAAUAGAGACAGCUCAGGAUCAAGCAUUUCACUAUAUGUCGAUUAUCCUGAGUGUACAACUUUCGAGUAUAUACGAUCCAUUAGUGUAACCACCAAAAUACUGGAUUGAUGUCAUCUAAAACUUGCCGAUGACCAUGCGUAUAACGUAUGUUCUGAAGAUAGGAUACGGUCUUGAAAUCUUCGUGACUAGCCGAUCCUUAUGGUUAAUAUGGAAGUCCAGGCCUUAUCAUCAAAAAGGACAACUUCACUAUCUUCUGUCCGAUUUUCUAUCACUAGAUCGUCUAUCUUCUGCUUCCUUCCUUCUUUGUUGCCUGUCAUCAAACCAAAUUUGACUCGUUACCUAAAUACUAGAAUAUUGCAGAAUGCAAAGGCAUUGUAAUUGUAAAUGUAUCUUUUAACACCCAAGCACCUAAACACAACUGAACAAAAACCAAUGACUGAAGGGAUCAUGCAAUGUACACAUUUUAAAACUCAUUCCCAAUUAGAGCAGAUUAACGUAAAGGGAAUAAUACAUGGAGAUAAUACAGGAAAAAAAAACUCCCAAUUCUCAGAGGACGACUUACGCAAAUGCUGAGUAUCCACUACCAGCUUUAGCGGCAGAUAGGAGUGCUGCAUGAGCACCAACAGCAGAAAGAUUUUCUUGAGCGGUCAAAGAACUCUUUUGGUCAACAUCCACCUGAAACCCAUUACAUUGAAAUUGAAUUGAUUAUCUCAAACACAUAAUAAGCUUUAGAGCUGCAAAUCAUUUCCAAUAAAACAAAACCUUAUCCCAUUUUGACUUUUUGUUCUGUCUACCAUCCCGAGCCAUGCCGUCUGAAGUAGCUGGUGGUACAUUUCCUACACCAUAAACAGCAGUCAAUCCCGAGAAGACGGGCUAAAAUAAAAAUCUAAAUCAUCAAGCGGAAGUCACAGAGUAAUAUAUGCCGAAGAGUAAGACGGGUACCUGGAGUUGGUAUGUUGAUUUUUGAUGUAGGAAGAACAUUUCCCGGUUGUACUCCUCCAGGAGUAAACUCUAACUUCUGACUUUUUUUCCUUUCUUGCUCUUUCCUUUCCAUUUCCCGUCUCAUGUCAACUUCUAAUUGCACAAUCAAAAGGGGAAUAUCAGAACAGAUAAUAUGGUUGCUCUUCCCCAAGGAAAAACGCCAAUUAAAAUUAAUAAGAUAAAAUCAACAGCAACUGUACAAUCAGCCAGCAAAAUUCAAAAGAACUACUAACAAGUAACAACCAAAGUUAGUAAAACAAUAAGACAUAGACAAACGCUAAGUGCAUAAUAGUAGGCAAUGUCUCAGAUCCAUCAUUGUAUAAGCGGAAUGGACUUCUUUUUUUCCAAUAUCAUGGAAAAGACCCUUGUGACUAGACACUGCAUGAAGGCCCCAAAAUCUCUCAAAUAAUUAUCUCAAGUGGAAAAGAAUCUUCUGACAAAUUCACCCAUCACAAGUUUAUGGUAACAGUAUAUACAAGCAAUAAUUUAAUUCUGAAAGUUAUUAGGUGACAACUAUAAUCAUGAUAAUAGUAUAGAUGCCUAUACAAACUUAUUAUCAUAAAUUACACUAUUACUCAAGGUGCCGCGUGAUGUAAAUGCACUUAAGAAGUAAGAACAAAGCAGACAACAUCUCAAAAAAACAAUUACCCGCCUCCAACAGAAAAAUAUCAUGUCCAUGAACCAAUUUGCACGUGAAUACAUGUGGCAGACACAUAUCAAACCUGUGAUUCUUUUGCAUGAGGGGAAUAAUAAAGGAGAAAAAAGGAAAUGAUAGUGAUGUGCCUAUCUCAGUGGAACUGGAACCAGCAAUAAGUAUAUGGACUUCUUGUGCAAGAAAAAAUCUUUGAUUCUUGAUCAUGAAUUGCUGCUUACGAAGACAAAUGCAGCUGCGGAAAAGUGAAACAACAAUUUAUUCUAAGACCACAAAACUUAUACUCUAGAAAUGUUUCUUUGUGUGAUUCAAUUUUCAGAUCAAACUAGCCCCACAAACAUAAUUUACAUAUUUUAAGAGGCAACGCAUUGAAACUUCAGGCUAAUUUUCCAUGGAAAAUUGGCAGGUUUAAACCUGCAACGUGUCUAGAACUUGAUGUAUAAUAUAAAAUCCACAAGAACUAGUUCCUAAUAAAGCUGUGUUUAGAUAGCCAUUGAAUAUAACUAAUAGAGAAAAGAGGCACUAUAUACGAAAAUCAAACAAGAGGAAGCUGGGAUCUAACACUCACAUUUAAAUUUCAUAAGCGAUUAAAUAUCUCAUGAUGGUUUGACUAUGUUUACUUAUAACCAAAAACCUAAAAUCGUAUUCAAUGGCCACGGUAUCAUCCAACUUCAUCUUCCACAUAAAAUGUUGUGGUCAAUCGAUGUUGAUUUACUUAAUCUUACAAGCAUUAGAUUAACUCGAGCUAAUUGUAAGAUAAUUAGUAGUUCAUUUUUCACUUCUUCAUGCCCCCAACGUAUAUCAGCUUAAGAUUUGAUAAAUACACUCCGACAAAAAACCCAUCUAGGCAUAGGUGGUCUUUUGUGGGGAAAAAUCAUAUAAAACUCUAAAUUCUUCUCAUGACAGCUAACAAUGAGAAUACAUGUAAGCUAAAUCGGGGAGACUAGCAAUCAAACCUAUUUCAUCAUAAAAGUCGCUUUUGUCGUAUCCAUGAGGGUCAAAUACAUCUUUACGGAAGCAGGAUCCUAUCUGAUCAAUAUCUUGGUAAGUCACAGCAUGCAGCAGGAAAUCAGGAUUUCGAUAUUCCUUUCUAUUCCGCACCUCUGCAUUAAAGCUUCUUCCAGUAGUCUUCUUUAGAGCAAGAAACCUACUAAUCUUCUCCUGAAGCAACAAAUCAGAAAUAAAAAUGUAGAUAUCAAGUGAAAGCUGAAAAAAGAAGAUUCUGCAGCAUGACAUAAAUAAUCUAUUCUAGAUUAGGGUUUAGAUAUUAAGUGAAAGCUUCUUCCAGUAGUCUUCUAGACUGACGUACCAAAAUGUGAGAACAUACAGCACAUUAAUAUAUUGAUUAUCAAUCACACCCCUUGUUCUGCCUAGGUGUCUUAAUUUCUGCAUUGACAGCAGGCAUGCUCUAUUCCAAAAUGAAAUAUGCAAGAGCAGAACAAGAUAGAAUCUAAAAAAUUUCUAAGGCACAUUUCAGACAACCUUUAGACUAUGUUUGAAAUAAUACAAGGUAAAGAGAUAAACCAGCAAAGUGUUAAUGUUUCUGACAUUCACCAACCAGAAGCUUAGUUUCACUGAAUCACAGCUAAUCCCUUCACCUAUUGGUUGCCACGCAGGAAUUUCUAAGGCACAUUUCAGAGUAACUUUAGACUAUGGCUUGUCUCAUUAACAUUAAUUUAUUUUUCAUUAUCCACUAAUAAAAUCAUCCUUCUUAUGUAGCUUUACUUAUUACACGUGAUGAAACCACAUGCAUUACAGGCCUCAUCAGAAUACACAGCUAAUUAAUGUUCAAAUGCCAGGACCUUGCUGAGCAUCAGAGAAUCAUGAAGUGGUAGUUUUAUUUAAGUUUUUGUUCAAGUAGAGAGUAAGCGCUUACUUGUAGUUCUUCUGAGCAUUUGGCCUUGGGAGGUGGGGGCAAAAAGUCGUCCAAUGGAUCGACAUCCUUUUGAUCCUCGACAGAACCCAUAACAGCAUCCUCAGUCCCUGCAGCUUCUGAUUCAUUUGUAGCAUAAUUCAUGGCAUCUGAUUCAGGCUGAUCAGCUGGCUCCAAUGAUUGGGGGGUUGCACCUUGAGUGCUAGGUGUUGGAUGCCGAGCCAUACCUGGUGAUAUCUUUUCUCGUGAUUCACCUAAAGCACAAGCAGUGACUGUAACAAAUGUUGGAAAGACAUCAAAGAAACUUCAAAAUGUUCUUUAGCUUGUAUGUAAAAGCAAGUGAAGUUUUCGAACUCCACAGUCAGUGGCUCAUAGUAAUUUCAUAAUAUAUAAUGAACCACACAAUUGUCAUAUUGUCUUGCCCUAAUUUUUCCCUAGUCAUACACCAAAAGAAAAGGACAUAUCGUUUUAAGAAACUCAAGACAUGCAUUAUAGAGAAUAUGUAGGGUAGGAUUGAAGGUAUAACUAUGACAAUCAAGAACACACAAAACAAUACAGUUGGAGUGUAGAGACUCUUAACCAUUUGAUUUAUCAGCGCACCAUACUUCUAAACAAUGUUGGGUUUAACGAUUUUUAUUUUGCUAGGGAUUUAAACUUCAAUAUUACACCACAUCAUAAUCCUAGACAUUAUAUCGAGUUCUACACAUUUUAUGCAAGAAAAUUCGGAUAAAUACAGAAGCUACAGGAGACAGUGACGACACUAUUUAGAUAAUCAAAAGCUUCACGUACCAUCACUACUUUGAAGUUGCUCUCCAUACGUUACUCGACCAGUUGCCAUGAUUUCACCUUCCUACAAUUAUAUAAGUUAACAACCUAAUUUCAGAAAAUAAAAUAAAAUACGCCAUAAACAUAAGAACCUCUGCUUCCGGAGACAUCGCGCCCUCUUCAUGGCCAUAAUCCACAAUAGUCAGUCGACUCUUUUGGCUCUGAACAUUAUUCAAAUCCGAACUAAAAUGUUGUGCUUGCAUCCGCUCUUGGGGCGAGAAGAGAUUUUGCUGCGGAGUCGCGGAUGCUGGAGGAGUGUAGUCGUUGAAUUGACCUCUCUCUUCCUGUUGCCGCUGCAUUUGUUCAUUGCCGUAAUCGUUAAUACCAUCAUUCUCGUUCACGGCGACGGCAUCCGACGCCGGCGGGGGAAUUCCAUCUUCAUGAAUGUUUUCUACUUCCUCAUCGAGUUCUUCCAUCUCGUCAUCUUCGUCGCCGUACAUCGAGAGCAACGCUAUCGCCCUCCGACGCCUUCUUCUCGGAUGCCACUUCCCCCAAAUUCGAACCCUAAGUUACUGGUAUUCGUUUUCCUUCUUCUUCUUCUCUUUCUGCUGAACCAAAACUAUCUCUCGAUAGCCAAUUAGAAAGAAAUCGAGAAUUUGUGAAAUUAGGGUUUAAAUUUACAAUCUGGUCUUUACACGAUUGUUCGUGAACGAAAAGAAAAACAGUACAAAGAGUGCAAUGGUGUGUGGUACGUAGGGCUGGUAAUCGGUCCGGUUCGAUUAUAACCGAAUCGAUUUACCGGUUAAUCAGAACCGAUUAAGGCUGAAAUUGAUAAUCGAAAAUCGAACCGAUUUUUGGUUCGGUUAACCGAUUAAUCGGUACGUUUACGUCGGUUAAACCGGUACCCGAAUUAAUCGAUUAACCGAAUUAACCGGUUAAUUAUAGAAAAUUCCCAAAAAAUUCUAAUAUUUGGUACUAAAGAAGGAUUCGAAAAAAUCACGCCUUUUUCACUGAGAAUUAAAAAUUACUAUGUGAAGCAGCCUCUUCUGUCGUAAAAUGACAAACAANCGCACAGUCUCGGAUCGUCAGCCAUGUCACUCUCAGUACUUGUCAACUAAAAUUGAGUCGGUUUCUUCUUCACAGUCUGAUUCUGUCUCCGAGUCGUGGUCUGUUUGGGCAAACAGAACCUCUUCCGCAGCUACAGAACUGGAUUUCUCUUCGACGAACUGUUCUGGUCGAAUGGGAAGCUAAUAGAGAAAAGAGGCACUAUAUACGAAAAUCAAACAAGAGGAAGCUGGGAUCUAACACUCACAAUUAAAUUUCAUAAGCGAUUAAAUAUCUCAUGAUGGUUUGACUAUGUUUACUUAUAACCAAAAACCUAAAAUUGUAUUCAAUGGCCGCGGUAUCAUCCAACUUCAUCUUCCACAUAAAAUGUUGUGGUCAAUCGAUGUUGAUUUACUUAAUCUUACAAGAAUUAGAUUAACUCGAGCUAAUUGUAAGAUAAUUAGUAGUUCAUUUUUCACUUCUUCAUGCCCCCAACGUAUAUCAGCUUAAGAUUUGAUAAAUACACUCCAACAAAAAACCCAUCUAGGCAUAGGUGGUCUUUUGUGGGGAAAAAUCAUAUAAAACUCUAAAUUCUUCUCAUGACAGCUAACAAUGAGAAUACAUGUAAGCUAAAUCGGGGAGACUAGCAAUCAAACCUAUUUCAUCAUAAAGUCGCUUUUGUCGUAUCCAUGAGGGUCAAUACAUCUUUACGGAAGCAGGAUCCUAUCUGAUCAAUAUCUUGGUAAGUCACAGCAUGCAGCAGGAAAUCAGGAUUUCGAUAUUCCUUUCUAUUCCGCACCUCUGCAUUAAAGCUUCUACCAGUAGUCUUCUUUAGAGCAAGAAACCUACUAAUCUUCUCCUGAAGCAACAAAUCAGAAAUAAAAAUAUAGAUAUCAAGUGAAAGCUGAAAAAAGAAGAUUCUGCAGCAUGACAUAAAUAAUCUAUUCUAGAUUAGGGUUUAGAUAUUAAGUGAAAGCUUCUUCCAGUAGUCUUCUAGAUUGAAGUACCAAAAUGUGAGAACAUACAGCACAUUAAUAUAUUGAUUUAUCAAUCACACCACUUGUUCUGCCUAGGUGUCUUAAUUUCUGCAUUGACAGCAGGCAUGCUCUAUUCCAAAAUGAAAUAUGCAAGAGCAGAACAAGAUAGAAUCUAAAAAUUUACUAAGGCACAUUUCAGACAACCUUUAGACUAUGUUUGAAAUAAUACAAGGUAAAGAGAUAAACCAGCAAAGUGUUAAUGUUUCUGACAUUCACCAACCAGAAGCUUAGUUUCACUGAAUCACAGCUAAUCCCUUCACCUAUUGGUUGCCAGGCAGGAAUUUCUAGUAACUUUAGACUAUGGCUUGUCUCAUUAACAUUAAUUUAUUUUUCAUGAUCCACUAAUAAAAUCAUCCUUCUUAUGUAGCUUUACUUAUUACAUGUGAUGAAACCACAUGCAUUACAGGCCUCAUCAGAAUACACAGCUAAUUAAUGUUCAAAUGCCAGGACCUUGCUGAGCAUAAGAGAAUCAUGAAGUGGUAGUUUCAUUUAAGUUUUUGUUCAAGUAGAGAGCAAGCGCUUACUUGUAGUUCUUCUGAGCAUUUGGCCUUGGGAGGUGGGGGCAAAAAGUCGUCCAAUGGAUCGACAUCCUUUUGAUCCUCGACAGAACCCAUAACAGCAUCCUCAGUCCCUGCAGCUUCUGAUUCAUUUGUAGCAUAAUUCAUGGCAUCUGAUUCGGGCUGAUCAGCUGGCUCCAAUGAUUGGGGGGUUGCACCUUGAGUGCUAGGUGUUGGAAGCCGAGCCAUACCUGGUGAUAUCUUUUCUCGCGAUUCACCUAAAGCACAAGCAGUGACUGUAACAAAUGUUGGAAAGACAUCAAAGAAACUUCAAAAUGUUAUUUAGCUUGCAUGUAAAAGCAAGUGAAGUUUUCGAACUCCACAGUCAAUGGCUCAUAGUAAAUUCAUAAUAUAUAAUGAACCACACAAUUGUCAUAUUGUCUUGCCCUAAUUUUUCCCGAGUCAUACACCAAAAGAAAAGGACAUCGUUUUAAGAAACUCAAGACAUGCAUUAUAGAGAAUAUGUAGGGUAGGAUUGAAGGUAUAACUAUGACUAUCAAGAACACACAAAACAAUACAGUUGAAGUCUAGAGACUCUUAACCAUUUGAUUUAUCAGCGCACCAUACUUCUAAACAAUGUUGGGUUUAACGAUUUUUAUUUUGCUAGGGAUUUAAACUUCAAUAUUACACCACAUCAGAAUCCUAGACAUUAUAUCGAGUUCUACACAUUUUAUGCAAGAAAAUUCGGAUAAAUACAGAAGCUACAGGAGACAGUGACGACCCUAUUUAGAUAAUCAAAAGCUUCACGUACCAUCACUACUUUGAAGUUGCUCUCCAUACGUUACUCGACCAGUUGCCAUGAUUUCACCUUCCUACAAUUAUAUAAGUUAACAACCUAAUUUCAGAAAAUAAAAUAAAAUACGCCAUAAACAUAAGAACCUCUGCUUCCGGAGACAUCGCGCCCUCUUCAUGGCCAUAAUCCACAAUAGUCAGUCGACUCUUUUGGCUCUGAACAUUAUUCAAAUCCGAACUAAAAUGUUGUGCUUGCAUCCGCUCUUGGGGCGAGAAGAGAUUUUGCUGCGGAGUCGCGGAUGCUGGAGGAGUGUAGUCGUUGAAUUGACCUCUCUCUUCCUGUUGCCGCUGCAUUUGUUCAUUGCCGUAAUCGUUAAUACCAUCAUUCUCGUUCACGGCGACGGCAUCCGACGCCGGCGGGGGAAUUCCAUCUUCAUGAAUGUUUUCUACUUCCUCAUCGAGUUCUUCCAUCUCGUCAUCUUCGUCGCCGUACAUCGAGAGCAACGCUAUGCCCUCCGACGCCUUCUUCUCGGAUGCCAUUCCCCCAAAUUGAACCCUAAGUUAUGGAUUGUUUUCCUUCUUCUUCUUCUCUUUCUGCUGAACCAAAACUAUCUCUCGAUAGCCAAUUAGAAAGAAAUCGAGAAUUUGUGAAAUUAGGGUUUAAAUUUACAAUCUGGUCUUUACACGAUUGUUCGUGAACGAAAAGAAAAACAGUACAAAGAGUGCAAUGGUGUGUGGUACGUAGGGCUGGUAAUCGGUCCGGUUCGAUUAUAACCGAAUCGAUUUACCGGUUAAUCAGAACCGAUUAAGGCUGAAAUUGAUAAUCGAAAAUCGAACCGAUUUUUGGUUCGGUUAACCGAUUAAUCGGUCCGGUUUACGGUCGGUUAAACCGUACCGAUUAAUCGAUUAACCGAAUUAACCGGUUAAUUAUAGAAAUUCCCAAAAAAUUCAAUAUUUGGUACUAAGAGGAUUCGAAAAAUCACGCCUUUUUCACUGAGAAUUAAAAUUCUAUGUGAAGCAGCCUCUUCUGUCGUAAAUGACAACAAUUCUUAUAUAAUCCUAGUGAGUGUCAAAAUCAUCAAUUAAAUUGUUGAGUGUAAUUAUUUAUGCGAGAAUUGAAUUUUAAAUUUCACAAGGACUUUCAAAUCAAAUUUGUCUCAGUUUGAAUCGGAAAGAUAAAUUCAUUUUGUCAUCAAUUCAUUUAGGCAUGCCGGCGACAACUGUGGAACUAACCUUUCAAGUUUCAGCAAGCUUUCGAUUGCUGGACCGCCGUAGGCUCUCAGGCGUGGACUCAAGGCCGAAGGCGCUCAGGUGCAGACCGGCGACGUGGGUUGGAAGAUAAUAGUCGAUGCGCCGGUGAGAAGAGGUGCUCACGACGUGGCCGGCGCUGCCUUCUUAAUUUCCCUCAACCCUCGCAAAUCCUCGCAAGAAUGGAAUCAGCGGCAAAUUGGAGUUGAAGUCUGGAACAAAAGAAGUCAAAGAACCGAAGCCCUAUUCAGAUUUGAGAUUUCAGCUAUUCUUAAUUUUUUUUAAUUAAGUUACAAUUAAAUAAAUAUAUAAAUUAUUUAAUUAUAUCUAAACCGGUUAAUUCGGUUUUAACCGGUCGGUUACCGGUUAAACCGAUUAACCGGUUAACACAAAAUCUCCUAACCGAUAACCGAACCGAACCGGAUAACCGGAAUUUUCGGUUCGGUUACGGUUAUAACCGGAUAACCGGAACCGAUUUAUCACCCCUAGUGGUACGGUAUACCCGUAUGGGUUUAGAUUCUUUAAAGCAUUAGCACCGGGACCACCUGAUAGAGAGGGACCACAUUGGGUCAAGGAGACUGCAGUGGGAUGACAUGAUAGCUGACCUGAUCUUUUUAGUUUUGAUUUUUUUAUUUUGUAUUUAAUUUUAAUUGAAAAGAUUUAAAUAAUACAAUUUAUUUUAAAUUUAAAUUGCAUUAAUUUUAAAAUCCUAAAAAUUACAUAAAAAAUUACAUAAAUCUUAAAAAUUUAAAGACAUAUCCUAAAAUAACUAUUCCGGCUUUAGAGGUCUGAAACGUAUCCAAACGUGCUCCAUCAAGUCAUGUUGCAGCACAGCAUGCUUGUGAUAUAUUCAGAUCACACGACAAAGAUAAAUUUAUACCAAGUAAAUCAUGAUCUUCCUUAAUAAUAAAAUAUUUUAUUUUCAUAAAUUAAAAAUAACUAAUUAAUGUACUAUACCAUUAAUAAAGAAAUAUCAACUCCAUCAUAUUUUUAGUUAACUAGAAGAGCCCUUUGUUGCAUGUUAAUAGUUAAGGUUAAAAUAAAAAAUAAAUAUAUGUAUAACUAGUUUUUUUUUUAAUGUAAAAUGAGAUUAUAUAGUAAUUUAGUAUAUUUUUAAAAAAUUAUAAUAUAUAAUAUGCUAUUAUUCUAUAAUAAUUACAUAAUGACCUAUUAAUAAAUUUUAUAUAAAACAAAUAGAAAUGCAUAAUUUCAGAAAUUAAAAUAUUAAAAUUAAUAAAAAAAAUAGAAAAAUGUAUUUAAAUAAGGUUUCUAGUUUCAAAAAAAUAUUAGUACUUAAAAAUUUAAAAUAUUUAAUAUAUUAAAACAUUGAAUUAUCAUAGCUUGUUCAUUGUAGAUCUAUUUUUUUACGUAUCAUAUAUCAAAUUAAAGGUCAUUUUAGCAUUUUUCGUUCAAGACAAAUAUAUAUUUUGUUAAAUGAAAAUGAAAAAAAAAAUAGUGCUCUUCAAUCUCUAACAAUUAAUGUACUUUAAAAAUGAUUUUCAUCAAUGAAUCGUCGAUGCCUACCGUUGGAUACGCCACCACAUAUAAUUUAACGGUGGCCAAAAUUAAUUUUGGUGCCUGAAACCUACUUCUCGUCCACCAUUGUAAGUUGUAACUCAAUGGUGGAGCACUAAUUGAUUUGCUCGAAGUUGAUUCAACGAUGUCGUCGAUGAUUUAUUUUUAUUUCUUUUUUAUUUGAGCUUUUUUUCAUAAUAUCAAUAUUUUUAUUGUAAUUCUUCUUUAUUUCUUACUUCUUUAUAUAUUCAACUCAAAUAUAAUUCUGUAGUUUUUGUCGUGAAAGUGCUUUUUUUAUUUAUUGAAUUACAAGAUUUCAUAAUUUAAACAUACGACUUAAAGGUAUCUAAAAUAUCUAAAUAAUGAAAUAUGAUAAUAUUGUGUGUAUGUGUAUAUAUGUAUAUUAAUAAAAUUAUAUGUAUAUAUAAAUUAUAAUCUUUUACAAAAUCUAAGUAAUUAUUUAUUUAUGUAGUUGAAAAAUAUUGAAGGAAAAGAGAGAAAUAAAAUCAAGAAGUUAUAAUCUUAGCCCACUGGCCACCGGGUCCUCACUUAAGUGAAGUGACCCGGGUUCGAUCCCUCUUGGGAGCGAAUUUGGAGAUUGGAGAUAUAAGGUGGAUUUUGGUGAAUGGAGAGAUAAGGUGGUUCUUGGAGUGGAUGGGGAACUAAUUACUAACAUCUAACAUGACUUUGCCCGAAAAAAAAAAAAAAAAAAAAAAAAAAAAAAAAGUGGAAAACAUAAUAUUUUUUUUUAAGAGAGCGUUAAAAUAGUUCGAACUUUAAUCUCAUGAUGACUUUUAAAUCUUAAAUUUAUGAAAAUUACAAAUAUAGCCUAAACUUAUUUACGUUGUUAAGUUUAUAGCCCAAAUCAAAAUUUCGGCUAACUGAGGGUUGAUAUGGCUCGUCGAAAGCUGACUUCAAAAUUUUAAAAAAAUGACAUUAAAUUUUUUUAUCUUUAUGUCAGCUACAACUGUCUAACUGUAAAUCAGAUUAAAAUUUAAACUCUUAAGUGAAAUAAGUACGUUUGCGAAUGAAAUUUUAACUCAGGUUAUAAACUGAACAACCUAGAUAAAUUUAAGCUUUAUUUGUAAUUUUUAUAAAUUUGGAUUAAAAAAUCACUAUAAAGUCAAAGUCCAUGCUAUUUUUUAAAAUAACCCUUACAGGAUUGAGAAAAUUAUUUAGCUAAGCUUAAUCAACAGAGUUUGUAUUCAUAUUUAGUUGAUCGAAAUUUGAUUUAAUUAAUAAUAAGAAAAUUGGCUUUUUAAGAAAAAAAGAAAGAAAAAAAAUAGCAUAAUUACUUCUAAUGCCAAAAAUUUGAUGCAUAGAUAUUGUUAAGAUUAGCGAGAAUUAAAAAAAAAAUUCUAAACUAAUUAUGUAGAAAAAGGAAAAAAGAAACACAAAAUCUUCCAAAUUCAAAUUCAACCGUCAAUUUGUAGAAGGGUACAUUAGUCAUGAAAAUUGAUAAUUAGUAGCUGAAUUAGUCCCUAAAAAACUGAACUAAUUUGGUAUAAAUUUAGGGGCACUACGUAUAUACAUUAGGGGUGAGCAUUCGGAUUUCGGAUCGGAUUUUUGCCUGAUCCGAUCCGAUCCGAAAAUCCGAAAUUUUCCUAAAAUUCAAUCCGAUCCGAACCGUAUUAUCCGAAAAUCCGAAUCUGAAAAUUCAAAAAUUUCGGAUAAAAUCCGAUCCGAACCGAAAAAUCCGAAAUGUGAAAAAAAAUUCGAAAUGUCAAAAAAAAAAAUCCGAAAACCGAAAAAAUCCGAAAAAUCCGAAAUAGAUGUCAACCUAACGUAUUAGAUAAUUACAAUCAAAUUAAGGUCAUAAUUAACAAGCCAUUAAUUAUAAUCAACCAAAAUGGGAGUAUAGGGUUAGAAUUUAGGAAUAUUUAACUAUUUAAAAACUAAUGAUUAUAUAUAUUUAUUUAUAAUAUUAUAAUAUUAAUUAUAUUAUAAAUAUAAUUCGGAUUUCGGUAAUUUUCGGAUUUUUUAAGGUGCCAAUCCGAUCCGAUCCGAAAAUCCGAAAUUUGCUUAAAAUUCAAUCCGAUCCGGUCCGAAAAUCCGAAAAAUCCGAACCAAAUUUUAAAAUUCGAUUUGGUUCGGAUCGGAUAUUCGGAUUUCGGAUAUUUUGCUCACCCCUAAUAUACAUAUUAUGUAGGACUAGAUUAAUUGAUAUGGAAAAUGAGGGAAAUUACUAUUGUAAAUAAUAUUAUUUAUUAUUUAUUGUACAUUACUUAUUCAUAUAUAUAUAUAUAUAUAUAUAUAUAUAUAUAUAUAUAUAUAUAUGAUGGAACGGUAAUAUACAGUUUUUAUAAGAAUACAGAAUCUGUUUCUCUCUUCUUUCUCUCAUUCUCUUCUCUCCCUGAAUCUUUCAUUCUUACUUUUGAAUUGCUUGCUCAAGAAGAUAUUACAACACGUUAUCAGCACGAGUCUCUAACCAAUUGAGUGAACACGGAGAUAGACCAUAAGAAAAAAUCGUGUUUUUCUUGCAAGGUAAUUUAUUUGUUUUUGUUUAUGGACCAACAAUUCGACUUUAUGCGAAAGUUUGAAGAAUUCGACUUUUAAUCUGAUUGUGUGUAAUUGUUUUGGUAAAAAAAAAAAUUUCGGAAUGAGUGCGCUUUAUUCGUGGAUUUUUUUUAUUGUUCAAACCUUGUGAGCAGAAGUAUUACCACGAAUCCACGCAAGAAGUUUGAUCUGGGAUUAAAAAUAUGUGUGCUGCUUCGAUUAAAAAACAUAGUGAAUGGAGUUUCUGAAGUUAAUCAAUUACCCUACGUUUUCAUCAAACCUUUCUUCUGAUACGUUUGGGAAUUAGAAAUAAAAAAAAAUGAAAUGAAUAGAUUUCUAUGUGUAAUGUGCUUUUUAAAUUGCAGAAACUUUAUUUUUACUCGCAAUCAAUUAUCAACUUCAGUUCCUUAUAAUAGUCAGAUUGGAUAGUCUCUUAAUUAAUGGAUUGACUUCUGAUAGUAAAUUGAAUGUUGGAAUUCGUUUUUAAUUGUUAAUUGUUAAAUAUAUAUAUAUAUAUAUAUAUUUAAUUUAAUGUGUUGGGAUAGACGUAUUAAUUUCUUAAGGAUCUUCUCCCUACGGGAUAGAUAUUAUUACGUCUUAAGGAUCGUCUCCCAACUAUAAUAUUUAUUGUUUGUUAUUUAUUAAAUGAAUUGGUUGAAAAAUAAUUGUGUAUAAUUGUUUAUUUAUAGUUUGUUAUUUUCAUUAUUUGUUAUAGUUUGAAUAUGUCUGAUAUCAACAAAAGAGAAUUCACCGAGCUUGCUCUUGAUGGUGGUAACUAUUUGACUUGGGCUUUGGAUGUUGAAAUAUACCUCGCCUCAUGUGAUCUGAGCGACGCUAUAGUUCCAGAUUCUUCAUGUAGCUCCGCCCAGAAGGCGAAAGCUUUGAUUUUCUUGCGUCAUCAUCUGAAUAAGGACUUAAAAAAUGAGUACCUUACUGAAAAGGAUCCUGCUGUCCUAUGGCAAUCCCUGAAGGAUCGCUUUGAUCAACAAAAGGCCAUUAUUCUCCCUCAGGCACAAUAUGAUUGGCUGAAUUUACGCUUUCAGGAUUUCAAGUCCGUGAUUGAGUACAAUUCUACCUUACAUCGUAUUGUGUCACAGCUGAAACUCUGUAAGCAAGAAGUUACAGAGAUUGAUUUGAUAGAGAAGACUCUAUCUACUUUUCAUGCCAGUAACCUUGUACUCCAGCAGCAGUACAGGGCCAAGAAUUAUACUAGGCAUUCUGAACUCAUUUCUGCUUUACUUGUAGCAGAGAAACAUAAUCAGCUUUUGAUGAGAAACCACAAUGCAAGACCAGUUGGUUCACAAGCAGUGCCUGAAGCACAUGCUACCACUUAUAGAGGUGGUCGAGGGAGAGGCCGAGGAAAAGCGAAUUGGUCACAACGUGGUGGAAGAGGUUGGUCCUAUAGAGGAGGUCGAGGUUGAGGUCGAGGUCAAGGUCGAGGUCGUGGAUACAAUCAUGUUGCUAGAUUCCAAAGUCAUGGGAAAAGGAUUUCAUAAGACAUCGCAUCCACAAGAAGCAAGUACAUCUCAGCUAACUCCAGAAACACAACAAACUUGUCACAGGUGUGGGUGCGAGGGUCAUUGGGGUCGUACAUGUCGCACCGCCAAGCACCUCGUUGAAGCAUAUCAAAUGUUGCAAAAGAACAAGAAAGGCAAGAAAAUUCGAAGUGAAAUACAUCAUGCCAGUUUGCCUGAAGCAAAUUUGGAGUUUAAUGCCGAUGAUGAUGAUUUAAUGCAACUUGAUCUUGAAGAUUAUGGAGAUCAAAAGUAAUUUGAUUUAUUGGACUAUUCAGACAUUUUAGGAUUUUAUUUAUGGUUCAUGUUUUAUUUGCAAACUUUCAGUAAUUUAGUUUGUUUUUGUGUGUUUGCAAUACUUAAAAUUCUAUUAUUAUUGUGACCUAUUUGCUAUCUUUAUUUGCUAUUUUCUUGAUUUAUAUUCUACUUCUUUGCUUUUAGAAUGUCAAACUCAAACUUGCAACUCAUGGAGAAUGAAAGUACAUUGUGUCUAGUGGAUAGUGCCACAACACAUACUAUACUUACUGAUAGAAAAUAUUUUCAAACUCUUACUGAAAAAAGGGGGAGCGUCACUACAAUUGCAAAUGACAAUAUCCUUAUUGUCGGCUCUGGAAGAGCUUCUCUAAUACUCCCUAUGGGUACAGAAUUAAUUAUCAAUGAUGCACUUUUGUAUCCACAAUCAAAACGUACCCUUCUUAGUUUUAAAGACAUCCGACUAAACGGUUUUCACAUUGAAACUGAAACUGAUAACAAUAAUGAAUUUCUGAUCAUCACUCAGAAUGUUGGAUGUAGAAAACAAAUUCUUGAGAAGUUCCCUUCUUUCUCCACUGGGUUGUAUUAUACUCACAUUAAACCUAACAAUCAUGUUGCGUUAAGCAUAAAAUUUAAAGACCCAAAAUCUUUUAUAUUAUGGCAUGAACGAUUGGGUCAUCCUGGGCAAAAUAUGAUACGUCGGAUUAUUAAUAAUGCUAUUGGGCACAAUAUACAAACAAAAGAUCUAUCACCUUCAAAUGAAUUUGUUUGUGAAGCAUGUGCAAAAGGUAAGCUUAUAGUACGACCUUCUCGUACCAAAGUUAAAUUAGAAUCUCCUUCUUUUCUUGAACGAAUUCAAGGAGAUAUAUGUGGACCAAUUCACCCGGCGUCCGGACCAUUUCAAUAUUUUAUGGUCCUAAUUGAUGCUUCUACUCGAUGGACUUAUGUAUGCUUAUUAUCUACUCGCAAUAAAGCAUUUGCAAAGCUUAUUGCCAAAAUAAUUGAAUUAAGAGCUCAAUUUCCUGAUUACCCAAUAAAGUCCAUUCGAAUGGACAACGCUGGUGAAUUCACAUCAAAAUCUUUUGAUGAAUAUUGUAUGUCAUUGGGUAUCAAAGUGGAGCAUCCUGUUCCAUAUGUCCACACGCAAAAUGGUCUAGCUGAAUCCUUAAUCAAACGUUUAAAACUAGUAGCUAGGCCAUUGCUACAAAAAUCAAACUUACCUAUUACUUGUUGGGGUCAUGCGAUUUUGCAUGCUGCAAAUUUGCUCCAAAUCCGACCAACUGCAUAUCAUGAAUAUUCCCCAAUGUACGUGGUAAAGAACCAAACAUUUCCCAUCUGCGAAUAUUUGGUUGUGGAGUUUAUACUCCAAUAGCGCCAUCAAAACGUACCACAAUGGGCCCUCAGCGUAAGCUAGGUAUAUAUGUGGGUUAUGAAUCUCCAUCUAUAAUUAAAUUUCUUGAACCCAUGACUGGGGAUCAAUUUACUGCCCGGUACGCUGACUGUAUUUUUGAUGAAGAUCAUUUCCCGACAUUAAGGGGAGACAAAAGCCCAACUUCAACACAAUGUCGAGAAAUUUCAUGGAAUGAAAAGAAUCUUCAUUAUUUAGAUCCACGUACUAAUGAAUCUGAACUAGAAGUUCAAAGGAUAAUUAACUUGCAAUAUUUAGCAAGUAAUUUGCCAGAUGCAUUUACUGAUCAUAAAGGAGUGACAAAAUCUCAUAUUCCUGCUAUGAAUGCACCACAAAGGAUUGAAGUUCCAUAUGGACAAAAUAAAUCAGCUGAUAAUCCCGAACGCCAGAAGCGUGGGAGACCUAUUGGUGCUAAAGAUAAAAAUCCCCGCAAAGCAAAAUCAAAUAAGAAUAUGAUAUCACUCCAACAACCUCUUGAAGAGGAUCAUCCUGUAGAUAAUAAUCCCAGUACUGCUAAAAGUGCACUAACUAAUACUGGGAUUGCGGAACAACCAGAUCAUAAUAUAAUGGGAAUUGAUAAAAAUCUGGUUGAUGUCAACAUUGAAGUUGCUAUGAACUUUAUAAAUACGGGAGAAACUUAUAACAGAAAUGUUCUUGUAAUAGACGAUGUAUUUGUCUCUACAAUUGCAUGUACUAUUCCAAAUGAUAAUUUGGAUCCAGAACCAAAAACAGUAGCACAGUGCCGGAAGCGCUCUGAUUGGUUGAAAUGGAAGGAAGCAAUUGAGGCAGAGUAUAACUCGCUAAAAAAAGAAAAGUUCUUGGUACUAUAAUACUUAUACCCGACAAUGUUGAACCAUUGGGAUAUAGAUGGGUAUUUGUACGAAAGAGAGAUGAGAACAAUGAGGUGGCAAGAUAAAAAGCAAGAUUAGUAGCUCAAGGGUUUUCGCAGAGACCUGGAAUUGAUUUUGAUCAAACAUAUUCUCCUGUUUUAGAUGGCAUAACAUUCCGCUAUUUGAUAUCUCUGGCGUCAUCAAUGAAUUUAGAAAUGCAGUUAAUGGACGUCGUGACUGCAUAUUUAUAUGGGUCACUAGACGCUGAUAUCUAUAUGAAAAUCCCUGAAGGAUUCAAAAUUCCUCAUAUGAAGGAAAAUGAAACUCGUGACAUGUAUUGUGUGAAUUAGAAAAUCGUUGUACGGUUUAAAACAGUUGGGAAAGAUGUGGUAUAACCGACUUAGUGAAUUCCUCUUGAAGAAGGAAUAUGUGAACAAUGAUAUAUGCCCUUGUGUGUUCAUUAAAAGAUCACAAAAUGGUUUUGUAUCAUUUCUGUUUAUGUUGAUGAUAUAAAUAUAAUUGGAACACGCAAAGAGGUUGAAGAAGCUCGUUCAUGCUUAAAGAUGGAGUUUGAAAUGAAAGACUUGGGUAAAACCAAGUUUGUCUCGGCCUGCAGAUCGAGCAUCUCCCUGAAGGAAUUCUUGUACACCAGUCAACUUAUGUGAGUAAGAUUUAGAGAAAUUCUAUAUGGAUAAAUCACAUCCACUUAGUACACCUAUGGUUGUCCGAUCACUAGAAAUAGAUAAGGACCCAUUUAGACCUANGUAUUUGCCUCUACAAUUGCAUGUACUAUUUCAAAUGAUAAUCUGGAUCCAGAACCAAAAACAGUAGCACAGUGCCGGAAGCGCUCUGAUUGGUUGAAAUGGAAGGAAGCAAUUGAGGUAGAGUAUAACUCGCUAAAGAAAAGAAAAGUUCUUGGUACUAUAAUACUUAUACCCGACAAUGUUGAACCAUUGGGAUAUAGAUGGGUAUUUGUACGAAAGAGAGAUGAGAACAAUGAGGUGGCAAGAUAUAAAGCGAGAUUAGUAGCUCAAGGGUUUCGCAGAGACCUGGAAUUGAUUUUGAUCAAACAUAUUCUCCUGUUUUAGAUGGCAUAACAUUCCGCUAUUUGAUAUCUCUGGCAUCAUCAAUGAAUUUAGAAAUGCAGUUAAUGGACGUGACUGCAUAUUUAUAUGGGUCACUAGACGCUGAUAUCUAUAUGAAAAUCCCUGAAGGAUUCAAAAUUCCUCAUAUGAAGGAAAAUGAAACUCGUGACAUGUAUUGUGUGAAAUUAGAAAAAUCGUUGUACGGUUUAAAACAGUCGGGAAAGAUGUGGUAUAACCGACUUAGUGAAUUCCUCUUGAAGAAGGAAUAUGUGAAUAAUGAUAUAUGCCUUGUGUGUUCAUUAAAAGAUCACAAAAUGGUUUUUGUAUCAUUUCUGUUUAUGUUGAUGAUAUAAAUAUAAUUGGAACACGCAAAGAGGUUGAAGAAGCUCGUUCAUGCUUAAAGAUGGAGUUUGAAAUGAAAGACUUGGGUAAAACCAAGUUUUGUCUCGGCCUGCAGAUCGAGCAUCUCCCUGAAGGAAUUCUUGUACACCAGUCAACUUAUGUGAGUAAGAUUUUAGAGAAAUUCUAUAUGGAUAAAUCACAUCCACUUAGCACACCUAUGGUUGUCCGAUCACUAGAAGUAGAUAAGGACCCAUUUAGACCUAAAGAAGAUGAUGAGGAUAUUUUAGGACCAGAAGUUCCUUAUUUGAGUGCAAUUGGAGCACUACUUUAUCUCGCAAAUUGCACAAGGCCUGACAUAGCAUUUGCGGUUAACUUGCUAGCAAGAUUCAGUGCUUCUCCUACACGAAGACAUUGGAAUGGUGUUAAACACAUUCUUCGUUAUCUUCAAGGUACAAAAGAUCUUGGUUUGUUCUAUCCAAGAAACCAAGACAUGACAUUGGUAGGCUAUGCGGAUGCUGGUUAUUUAUCUGAUCCCCAUAAUGCUAAAUCUCAGACUGGUUAUGUUUUCCUCUGUGGUGGUACAGCUAUAUCUUGGAGAUCUGUUAAACAGACUCUAGUUACUACAUCUUCAAACCACUCAGAGAUUAUCGCUUUACAUGAGACCGCUAAAGAAUGUGCAUGGUUAAGAUCAUUGAUACAACACAUUCGCGGAUCUUGUGGUAUUGCGGAUGAUAAAUCUUCCACUGUCCUAUAUGAGGACAAUGUUGCUUGUGUUGCACAAAUGGAUAGCGGGUACAUUAAAGGAAAUUUAACAAAACAUAUAUUACCUAAAUUCUUUUACCCGCAUGAGCUCCAGAAGAGCGGCGAAAUUAAAAUAAAUAAAAUUCGCUCUUGUGAUAAUCUGGCAGAUUUAUUCACAAAAUCCCUUCCUACGUCAACUUUUGAAAAACAUGUUUAUAAUAUUGGAAUGCGUAGGCUUAGUAGAUUAUUAGUUUGAGGGGGAGCGAAUUCAUUAUGCCUUGAAGGUGUAUUUUUGUUGUACUCUUUUUCCCUUACUAAGUUUUUUCCCAUUGGGUUUUCUUAGUUAAGGUUUUUAAUGAGGCAACAAAUGCAACACAAAGUUAUACAUAUCACAUGUACUCUUUUCUUUGACUGUUUUUUCCCACAGGGUUUUUCAGCGAGAGAGACAUGAAUAUAAUCAAGUAAUGUCCAAGGGGGAGUAUUGUAAAUAAUAUUAUUUAUUAUUUAUUGUACAUUACUUAUUCAUAUAUAUACAUAUAUAUAUAUAUGAUGGAACGGUAAUAUACAGUUUUUAUAAGAAUACAGAAUCUGUUUCUCUCUUCUUUCUCUCCUUCUCUUCUCUCCCUGAAUCUUCCAUUCUUACUUUUGAAUUGCUUGCUCAAGAAGAUAUUACAACAAUUACAAAAUUAGUUGAGUUUGUCUUCGAGCACGUGAGAAAGUGACAAUACAGCCCAAAACUUAGAACUUGACCCACUAAAUCCAAAAAUAAAAAAAUGUUAUAAACCCAAAACUGAAACGGACUAGACAAUUGGGUUAGAUAGGUUACCAAAUGAAUUUACGGAUUGAUUCCACGAACUUGUCACCAUUUCGCCACCACUGCUAUAUUCCUCCACGCGUUGCCACCGAUCAAUUGCCCAACCCUUUUUGCUCCGCUUUUUUAACUCUGCAUUUCAAUGGCGUUUCGCCGGUGCCUCUGAUUCCCCCUUCCCCAAAAAAUGAUCGAAAAUCGAGGCCCCACUUCCUGCCUCGUCGUCGGCAACUACUGCCACGACGUCCUCAUGAAAGACAGCAUCGUUCUCGCCGAGUCGCUCGGCGGCGCUGCCGCCUUCAUCUCCGCCGUCCUCGACGGCGUCGCCAUUGCCUCCACCUUCGUGUCCAAAGUUGGCCCGGAUUUCGCCUACUCCGUCGCACGAUCCCCCACCGUUUCCGAGUCCUCCAAAACGACGGUGUUCCACGCCCAUUUCUCAUCGCAGGUCCAGCGGCACGAUCGGGUCCUCAAACGGGUCGAAUCGUGCGCCUCGAUCACCCCCUCGGACCUCCCCGCCUCGCGGCGGUUCGAGUUCGGCAUGGCCAUCGGCGUCGCCGGGGAAAUACUGCCGGAGACGCUCGAGAGGAUGCUCGACAUCUGCGACACCGUGUUCGUGGACGUCCAAGCCCUAAUCCGCGUGUUCGAUCCCGCCGACGGAACGGUGAGCCUCGUUCAUCUGAGGGAUUCCGGAUUCGAUCAUCUGGUGCCGCGGAUCGGGUUCCUGAAGGCGUCGUCGGACGAGGCGCCGUACGUGGGCGUGGAGGCGGCGAGGAAGGAGUGCUGCGUGGUGGUGACGAAUGGGGAGAAGGGGUGCACGGUUUAUUACCGGAAUGUAGAGCAGCGGAUUGCCCCCUUUCCCACCGUGCAGGUCGAUCCGACGGGGGCGGGAGAUAGCUUCCUCGGCGGGUUGGUGGUGGGACUCAUCGAGGGGAUGCCCGUGCCUGAUGCCGCCUUGUUGGGGAACUUCUUCGGGUCCCUCACCGUCGGGCAGCUCGGGCUGCCCAAGUUUGAUUUCCGGGUUUUACAGGUUGGUCUGUGAAAAUAAUCUCUCUCUCUCUCUGCGUGAGCAAUUGUUGUUGAUAAUGAAUUUGGUGUAGUUAUUCUUCUUUAUCAGCUGUUGGAUUGGUUACAUGCAUCCAUAAUUGUGUGAUUUGUGAUUGUGAGAGCUGAUAAUCUGCCCUAUUCACUGUUUGAGAAAAUGAUCAAGUGAAACUAAGCUUGCUCCUCGUUGCAUGAAUUGUGUGUUUGCUGAAUUUGUUGAAAUUUUGUAAGUAUAAUGAGACUUUUGUGUAUAGCCAUUGUUACUUCUCCAAAAAUAAGCAUAUGUUUACCUCACUGUCAUUUUUUUUAGACCUUCGGUAAUUGGUAGUGGAAUUUUGAGCAUUUAUGCUUCUCAAAUCAUAUGGAUUUUAGUAAUUAGUUUGUAUAAUUCAAGGCCCUUUAGCUCUUUGUUCAUGUACAUCUAUUUCUUGGUCCGCAUCGUGUGAUGAUAUUUGAAAUUUCAUUUACUCGUAUGCAAAUACACAAACAAUGUAUAAUCGUUUGCAUGUUUCAUCUCCUGUCUUCAAUUUCGUGUUUUACUCGUGGAUUUGGAUGUAAUGUUACUUCAUCUACUUGGUUUGGUAUUGUUCGAGUUAAGGAAUUAAGAAAGAAAUCAAUGGCCUAAAAAUUCACCCAAAAUAGGGAAUCCUUUGAUGAUAUUAGGCAUCUUGUGUAUGUUGCAUUAUGCUUGUAUUGCUACUUGACAUUUUCUUUUGCUGAUGGUUGUUGUACUUUACAAUUUCCUUCUAGGCAGUUAAGGAUGAGCUCCAACGAAGGAGGUUGAAAAUGCUCGGCCACGAGAGGCUAAACGGAGAACUUGUGUUUGUGAAGCCUAUAGAUCACGAGGACUUCCGCAUGGCACUUGUUAGGGCCAAGACACUUCCAGUCCGAGAAUGCCAACAAGAUCAAUUGUAACCUUUUGCCAUUUUGAACACAAGAAACAUAUUUAUGAUUCUAGUUUUAGUGUUGUNUUUUUUCCCUCUGUAUUUUCGAGAUAGAUAUUUCGAAAUAUACUCUCUUUCUCUCUCCUCUCCUCUCUCUCAUAUUUCCAAGUGCCACAAUAUGUUUAUGUGCAUAUAAUGUUCAAUGGAUUUUCUGAGCUGCCACUUAUGAUUUUUAGACUUCCAGUGUUCUACAAGCAGAGAGAUAAUCUUUUUCAUCCUGCAUGGACAUGGUCUCUACCGAGCUUCAUACUUCGCCUGCCUUACUCUGUGAUUGAAGCUAUGGUAUGGUCUUGUGUAGUAUAUUAUGCUGUAGGAUCUAGUCCUGAGGCUGGAAGGUUUGUCCUGUAGACUUUUUUUUUCAUUGACUAUAAAUUCAAUUUCCAAAGCUCAUCGUGUCAUUUUAUUUGUUUCAGGUUUUUGCGUUAUAUGUUUGUACUCUUUUCUGUGCACCAAAUGUCAUUGGGACUCUUCAGGACAAUGGCUGCACUGGCAAGUGAUAUCAUCAUUGCUAAUACUUUUGGUUCAGCUGCAUUAUUGAUAAUCUUUUUGUUAGCUGGAUAUAUUCUACCAAAGGGUAAGCAUUGUUUGUCAUCAUAAACAUUUACCUGGUUGUUUUAUACUUGGUGACGACCUUCUAUUUUAGAGAUGAUUAAACCAUGGUGGUUGUGGGCAUUCUGGGUGUCUCCACUGUCCUGGGCAGCAAGCAAUUUCAGUUGACGAGUUUACUGCUAAAAGAUGGAUGGAGGUAAGAUCCUGCAAUGAUUCGAUCUGUGGCAGAGUCCAAAUAGAUAUUGAUGUCAAUUUUACUUGCUUGCUGAUAAUUCUUUUGCUUGUAUUUAUUGAACUUGAUAUCACAGAGGUCAGCUGGAAACACCACUCUUGGAAAUAUGAUUCAGCAGAUUCAUAGUUUACCCAGUAAUGGUUAUUGGUAUUGGCUUGGAGUAGCUGCUUUACUAGGAUAUGCUUUGUUUUUCAACAUUACAGUGACAGCAGCACUUUCCUUUCUCAAUCGUAAGUUACCCGACACUUCUGAUAUCCAUUGAGGUUCUAAACUAGGCAAGUGUAGGACAAGUAAACUAAGUUUGAGUUGUCAAGAAAUAUGCGGAUAGAUAUCAAGCAAGCAUGUUUCAUGAUUUUGAUCAGAGUUGCAUCUACUGUGGAAGCUCUUCUCCGCUUCCUCGUCCCAAAACCAGUAAGGGAGUGUUUACCUUAUAUGAUUGACAGUACAUAUGAUUGAACGGUGAUUAGCCUAUACUAUAUAUACAUAUAAUACCUUCCAAUUCCAUCCAUCCCAUAUUAGCAAAUACACAGCUCCAGUAGCAUGCAAAAAUCACCUCAUCUAAUAUUAUUGAUGUACAGAGCAUUCCUGGGUGGUGGAUAUGGUUCUACUACAUCUGCCCGAUGGCGUGGACGUUACGUGGCAUAAUCACGUCCCAACUAGGCGACGUAGAGACAAGAAUCAGAGGGCAGGAUUUUGAAGGCAAUGUGAAAGACUUCAUCAAUGUGCAUUAUGGUUAUGAUUCAGGGAUGCUUGGAGUAUCAGUUGCUGUGCUUGUUGCAUUCAGCCUCCUAUUUUUCGGCCAUUUCUGUUAAAGUUCUCAACUUCCAGAGAAGAUGGCUGCUGCUGACUCUACAACUAUUACAGUGAUCCCUUCAUCAACACAAGUGAACUACUGCUCAUACAAAUAUGCAAUAUUGUCUCUAUGUCUGAUUUUGUCAAAUAUAUAACCUUUGAUAUGCUUGUGAGCAAAAUUGAAAUGCUGGAUGUUAGUAUCACUAUAAGAAGAUCAGAUGAAAUGCCAAACUCUUGUUCCAUCAUCAUUAUAGCACUGCACUUAUGUGAUACACUCGUUAUUAUUAUUAUUUUAUUGGUUCUUUUUAGUGUGUGUGUGGAUAAUUGUGAUGUUUGGUUGUGUGAAGAAUAUGUUUUUAAAUAUAACAAAUUAAACUACAUGAUUGUUUAGGUUUUAAGAGGGUGUAGAAUUAAAUAAUUACAAAUUCCUUUGUAAUCUAAUAAAAAUUAUAAUCCUCAUUUCUGAAUUUUCUAACAUAUAAUUCUCAUUUUGAAAUUACCUAAUAUAUAGUCCUCAAUUUUGUGAUAAUCAGACAUCUCGGGAAUUACAUAAUAAUCCCCACACGGCAGAAUGACUUCGACGUUUCUCCAUUAUGCUAUCUACACACAUCGCUGUCUCCUUUUUCAUUUUACCCGAUUAUUAUUACUUUUUUUUUUCGUCCAAAACUGCACAUUAUUUGAAUUGAAAGUUUGGCACCUGCUUAGAAUUUUGAUUAGCUUUAAUUAAUAGAUAAUCUUUAUCGUCCCAACUAGGGAAAGAAUACAUCGACAUUCCUUAAUUUUUCUCUCAUUUUUUAGACGUCUUAGUGUGUUUUGGGGUUGCUGAGAAGUAUUAGGCCCAGUUUGAUAGCCUUGUUAUAACUGUAUUACUUCCUUUCAUGGGCUAAAAUUCAUGUUUGACAUCUAAGUAAAAUAAUCAAGGAAGCCCAUGUAAAAGGCUAGGCCCGGGGCUAAAUCCCUGUUUCAUCAAGGAAACACAACCGAGCCUUCCCCCUGGUUAGCUAAGCUGGAAUUCCAAGUUUAAUUUUCUUUCACAAAAUUGCCCCCAAUUCAUCUCUCUAUCUCUCGUACCCAUUUUUUUUUCUCUCUCUCUGGAGAAUCACGCACACAAUACCAAGUCAGAAUCACUCACACGCACAAGCGGCGCCACCCUCUUUCUGGCGAGAGCAACCACCAGACGUCCCUUCUCCCUUGACUUCCCUCUCUCUCUCUCUCUCGUCUUUUACAGGUCGACGGAGCUCCCUGCGCUGCCUCAUCCCUUGGGUCAGCGAAGUCGCCGCCGCCUCCCUCUAAAUCCCUAGUCCCCAAGGUUCAACUCCACUCCGGCGAGUCCUGCGCUUUCAUUUGUUGUUUGAAGGAGAUGGAUUUGUUGUUUUUUGAGUCAAAAAAUGGAGACCUCGAGAAGAGAGGUGAGAGAAGGGAGGGGAUGAGCGGCUGUGACAGACUUCUACCAAAGUGUUUUAUUCUUUAAUUUAAAAUUUUCAAUUAAUUUAAUAGAGGUUAAAAUAGUAAUUUCAGUAUUUAAUCUAAAUUUUAAUCUAUACUAACAAACAACUAUUUUAUGUUAUCUAGAUUUUAAUCUUGAUCUAUCAAACACUAAAAUGUAUUACUAAUCUCACCUAAUUCAUAUUAUUUUAACUAAGUUUUAUUUAUCAACCUUUAUCUCAACUUAGAUAUCAAACAUGGCCUUAGUAUUAUCCGAAAACUAUUGCUUUCUUAUUUAUCAAAUUUGAAUAAAAUAACUCUAAUGUUUUAGUGUAGUGGUAUUCUUUUUUAUAUGCAUAAGAGUGAGUGAACGAUCAGGGUAUAAAUCGCAAUUUUCCCACCCUUCAAUAAAUAAAUAAAAGUAAAAUAAUAAUAUUAUGGGCAGGGGCGGAUCCAGAAUUUAAGGUUAGGGGGGCUGAAUUUAUUGAUCUACGACGUCUGAAGACAUUUACACAGGGGGGGAGGGAGCCCCCGUUGCAAUUUUUUUUUAUCAUUGAGUAGAUUGAAAGCAUACAUAAACAUACUUUUAUACAUUCUUUUAAAAAAGUAUAUUUCAUUUUUUAAACAAAUAAACUAACUUUCAGUGUUAAUAAUUAGUAAUUUUACUUUUAACUUUAGAAUAAACUCAAAUUCAACAUUAAAAAUUAAAUAAAAAAAAUAAGAUAAAAAUAAUUAUUAUGGAUCAAAUCCGCCACUGACUAUGGGUAAACUAUAGUAUUAUUCAAAAAAAUUAUUCUUUUGAAAAAAACUACUUCUAUCGAUAUAAUAAUGUACAAUGUCAAAUAAUUAUUAUGGAUCGAAUCAGCCACUGACUAUGGGUAAACUAUAGUAUUAUUUAAAAAAAAUAUUCUUUUGAAAAAAAACUACAUCUAUCGAUAUAUUAAUGAAAGGGAUUUCGAACUUAAAUUGAUUGAUGUGGUUUAAUUAAGCUGCCCAAUCAUAUUUUCAUCUUUUGUCGUUGGACAAUUGCUUAUACAUUGUAUGAAUUUUUCUACUCAAUUAUCUUGUCAUCAGAUGUUCGAUGACAAAAUUUAAAAUAUGAUCAGGCAAUCAAGACCACGAGAGCUUCGAAAAAAUUGAAUUAUUUUUGGAUUAAUUCAAAAGUCAUUUGAUUCUUCUAAUGAUAAAAAUUGAUGAGCAUUGAAAGGAUGAAUAAAAUUGAUAAAUUUUAUAAAUUAAAAUAUAUUUAAAAAAAUGUCAAAUGACAGAUACUAUAAAUAACCCUUAAAAUUAGAUUUGCUGAUCGAAUCGUCAAUUUGCUUUUCCAACUUUAUCUACCUGAGGAAAUUUUACUAAUAAAGCAAGAGAAUACAUAAAUCCCCAAAAAUAUAGUCCUUGCAGAAGAAGGCUGCAUGAGACUGAAGUUACUGACGUUGCUUUUUACUCUUCAGUCAUUUUUCAUUUAUUCUUAUGGAAAGGUUCUUCGAUUAAUUCUUUUGAUUAUAACAAACAAAAAUGCAAGAAUUUGCAGAAACUGAACUGUAUUAUUUUUUAAUUGUAAAAAUUAUAGACCUGCUGCAUUACUUAUUUCCUAAAUAAAUUACAUUUGAGGUUGUAAUUUCACUUCUCUUAUUUUUCGGAGGAGCUAUAAAUAUUAACUUAGAUGUAUACAUCAACACCAACAUAUUUGUAUUUAUUAAAAUAUAUAAUGAAAAUUGUAAAAAAAAAUUAUAAAGAUGAAUGUGCGCUCAUGAAAGAUUCAGUACUUAUUCAACCAUUAUGCUAGACAAUACUUUUUUUAUUUUUAUUUUUUUUGAGGGGGCUAGAUAAUAAAUUUAUAUACACCUAUAAUUUACUACUUAGCUACAUACAUCCAAUGUGACUAUUUGUAAGAAAGACAAGCUAUAUUAAAUAUUUAUUUACAAAUUCAAUCGUAGACUGGAGUAUAAUUUAUUCAGAUCUUCCGAUUUUUUAUAUAUGUAUAUGUAUGUGUAGAUGUAAACAUAAAAUAGUGGUUCCAAGCAAACGACAAUUCCACCGCAUAUAUAUCUCGUUUUGUGGUUAAAAUUUUGUACAAGACCAAAUAAUAGCAUCUCAAAUUUUGCAUCGCACUAGUAAGAAAAGAGCAAAACUAGGAACAACGAAAUAUGGUCCAUUUUCUUCAACUAUAAAAACAAACAAUAAAAAAUGGCCCCAUCCAACAUAAGUAUAACUUAUUUAGAUCAAACUCUUUGCUAAAGAUUGUCGUUAUGCACUUUAGUGUACGCAGUGGAAUAUUUGCUUUUGUGUAGCUUUGAAUAAAUGCAGGGAAUACUAUAAAUUUAAAGGAUUAAAGCUACAUAUAUAUGCAAACAAAUUACAACAACAAAAAGAGCAAGCAAACAAAGGAAAAGAAAUUAAUAAAGACAGAAAAGAAUGCAAAAGAGUACCUGAUGUUAAACCAGCCUCAUACAUACAUACGCAAAGAGACCGCUCUGAUGACUGAUAACUCAUAAUAGAACCGUAAAAUCCCAUUUUUGCCCUUUUAUUUCAUCAAAUUAUUCAAAUACAACUUGUAUUGUAUGUAAACAGAUUAUGGUUUUUUUUUAAGAUAAAUAGGAUAUCAUGAAUUUCUAAUUCAUAGAUUAUAAUGAAUUUGAUAUAGUUUUUCAAUAACCAAACAAUCAUAUACAACUUGCGCGUAAGAAAUAAUUGAACCAAAAUAUCCUUUCGUUGAGACAAUUUUUGAUACCUUAACAUUUAAACUAGACCUAACACAUAAAUUAAAUUUGUUAAAAAAGACUGUUCUCUAUAGCUCAAAUCAAUUAAGAAAAAUAAAACAGGUUCAAUAAAUCAUUAUCAAUGGUGGACUCAAGAGGAGCCAAGGGGGGACUUAAAGCCCCCACCAAUCAAAAGAACUUGUUAGAAAAUUAUUUUGAAAUUAUCAUAUUAUUGGUAUUUUAUAUGGAUCAUUAUAUAAUACUUCUAUCAUCAAAUCAAAUAGUAUGAUCAAAAUAGCAAACUCAAAAUACAGAAGAUAUAUAGUCCUCACCAUGAAUUAUUCCACGUCCCUCAAAUGAGUACUAUACAACAAAAUUCUAAAAGUAAAGUCUAAACAAUAUUUUAUUCUUCUUCUUCUUCUAAUUUUAGUGUACGACUGUGUAGUAUCUAUGAGAAAUGAAGUGCCCAUAUAUAUAAAAUAUGCUUUCUUCUAAUUUUAUUGUACGACUGUGUAGUAUCUAUGAGAUGUGAAGUGCCAUAAAAUAUGCUAGUAAUUUACAAGCCAAAAAAAUUGAAAGCGCUGAUUUUCCACAAAAUGAUUGUACAUUUCAAGAAAUCCUAUUAAGCGCUUACAUGAUAUACUACACCAAUUCAUUGAUUUGAAGUCACGCUCAAUAAUAGGAGAGUUUAAUUAUAUAGAUUUAAACGUAGUAAUUCAAAUCUAAAAAAUUAAACGCCUCAUUUUUUAUCUCAAGUAAUUUCCAAGGGAGUAGGAUGUAUAUCUUUGAGCAAGCCCAAAACUUGCUGCAUGGUGGGCCUCUUCUCCGGCGCCUCCGCCGUGCACAAGUACCCGACUCGGAGGCACUCCACCAUCUGACUCACCGAGUCGCGCAGCCUCUCAGCCGCGAGUCGAGCGCGUUCGCCCCUUCCCCAUCCUUCACCAGCCUCCUCACCCAAUCCACGGCAUGGCACGAGCCCCGUUGACCGGUCAACAGCUCCACCAGCACCACGCCGAAGCUGUACACGUCAUCCUCGGUGGACCCCGCGACCUGGUCCUGGCUCGCCGCGAAGUCGGUGAUCCGCGGCUCGAGGUCGUCGGCCAGCAGGAUGUUGGACGGCACUAGAUGCCCGUGCACGACGGGCUUCGACCGGGCGUGGUGGAGGUAGGCGAGCCCACGUGCCACCCCGACGGCGAUCCGGUGGCGCGUGUGCCACUCCAUCUUCUCGGGCGAGGUGUGCUGGGGCCCAUCCCCGGCCCCACUCUGGAUCUCCCACGUGUCGCCGCUCCAGUCCUCCACGUUGGGCGCCCCCGUUGGGAGCUCGUGCAGCCAACGGUGGAGAUCGCCGUUGGCCAUGAACUCGUACAACACCAACUUUUCUUUACCUGCGCACAACGGAAUUAAACCCAUCUACCUCAUUAAAUUCGCAUUCCACUUUCAUGUUCCAACCGUCCAAUGUUACAUGAAUAGGAUAUGUAAAAUAUCUUUUAACUUCAAAAUAAACACUAAAACCACAUGGUAUAAACCAACAUACACAAACGUAUAUUAAUCACCUGAAAGAGUGAAAGUCUUAAUUCAAAUCCCAAAAUCACAAUUUGACUUUCUAUCUAUAUAGUCUACACGAAGUCCGAAGCGGUGAGUAGAAAAUUUUACAGCAGUCCAAAAAUGAAUCUAGCGCUAGUUUCAAAGCUCACAAUCACGAAAAUCUAAUCAUAUCUGAUCUCACGACUGCAAGAAUAUAUGUAUUGGCAUUUUCUCAGCGCCCAAAUCUCACGUGAAUUCAUUAAAUGUGGUAGCUCAAGAAUACGUCAAAUUAAUUACUGACGCACACGGAUGAUAAUAAUACAAAAAAUGAGAAAUAAAACACUACUAAUUGAGGCAAAAUAAGGCAAUUAGGCAGAGAUACUCGUACCUGCAAUGCAGUAGCCAGAGACAGGCAGCAGAUUAGGGUGUUUGAGCCUCGAGAAGUCUUCAAACAUGGCGGCAGCGUCAUCGCGCUGAGGCUCCUGGCAUUUUCGAGAACCUUGAUUGCCACGUGGAUAUCGCCGGGCAGCACGGCGCGGUAGAGGGGCCCGCACCUUCCCUCUGCGAGGAGGGAUUCUUUGCCGAAGUGUGACGUGGCAGCGAUAGGUCCUUGAACGUCAGGUUCAUCAAUGGCUUCUCGAACAUAACCACGGCGGCCGACGUCGGCUCUUUGAUGUCGGCUACCCACGACGACCCGGACUCUGUUUCGAACGAAAACGGGCCCGAUUUCUCCAUCCUGAACGGGGUCUGGAUCGGCGUGGAGAUUGACCAUUUGCUCUGCCUCGCUCUGCUCCUAUUCCUGCACCUGUAAUAUGCCAGGACGGCCACGGCCACGGCGGCGAUGGAUGAACCUAGCGACGCGCCCAGGAUUAUGGUUUUCCGAGUUUUCGAUCUCGGUCUGGGUUUCUUCGCGGGGCUGAGGUCUAUUUCUUGGUUUUGAGGCGGCGGCUUAUGGCGGAGAGUGGGCGGGUUAGGUUUUAUAUGCAAGUCGGGGGCGGUGGCGGUGGUGGUGGUGGCGGCGGCGGUUUUGUUUCGAGUGGUGAGAUUGCCGGCGUGAAUGAAAGCGGAACUGCCGAAUUUGUGGACGUAUUUUGAGUCCAGAAAACCCGACACAUUAUUGAACGAGAUGUUGAAGAAACUCAGAUUAACUAAAGACGGAAUAUCGGCCGGGAAAUUACCGGUAAAACGAUUGAUCGAAAUAUCCAAGUGUUUCAAGGAUUUAAGACCAGAAAUCGGGCUUAAAUUCCCCGAAAUAUUGCAGCCGGAUAUGUCGAGAGAUUGAAGAUUAGUUAGGUUGGUGAACCAAAGGGGAAGCGCAACUCGAAAAUCAUUACCGGAGAGAUUGAGAGAGGUGAGAUUAGGGAAAUUGGAGAGAUAAGUGAAGUUUCUAAACCUAUUAAAGGAGAGAUCGAUCUUCCGAAGCGGCGAAGAGCUGAGCGAGGCCGGUUUAGGAAGUCCGGCGGCGCCGCCGAGGCGGUUGUUGGAGAGGUUGAUUUCGGCUAAGUUGGGGAGAAGCCAAAGAGAAAGCGGGACGGAGCCGGUGAGACGAUUGUCGGAGAGAUCUAAGGCGCGCAGGUGCGUGAUGUUUGUGAGGUGUUUCCAUGAGAUAGCGCCGGUGAGGUUUCUGGAGGAGAGGUUGAUUUGGGAGACGGAGCAGCUGGUGUUGAAGAACCAGGAAGGUUCGAAGCCGGAAACGGAGGCGAAUGCCUUGGCGAGCAGGGCGCGGUCUGAGGUGUUGCUGCACGGUGAUGAUUCGGAUAGAGAGAGGAGAGAGAUGAAGAGCAUGAAUCUGAGCAUGGUUUUCAUUUCAUGGAUGCAGAGAGAGAAAGAGAGAUCUGAGCUACUGUCACAUUAUGUAGUUAUUGAAGGCGGUGGUGGUGGAGUGGUGGUCUGCUUCUUUGUGAGUUUGGACUCGUCAACUACUCUCAACUUACAAACAUGGAGAAGACCAAAACAGAACCACUAGCAAAACAACACUGUUUAGUGGACACAGAUUCUCAAUGCUUAUUCUUCAAAUUAAAUACACUUGGUUUUCAUACUAAUAAUCAACACAAAAUCUUAAGUACACCUAAGUGUACCGUACAAUUGGAUUGAUCCGUACUCAAAAUAAGUACUGUAUUAUUUAUAUGGGUUGGAUCAAAAUAUGGAUUUAAAUUAGAGUGUAGGUCAAAGUUUAAGUGAAGUGUAACCCGAUUGUACAGUACACCCGAGUGUACCCAAGACCACCUCUACUAUCAAUGAGUUGUUUGUUGAAUUCUCCACUUCCACUAAUUGUAUUGGACCAACUAUAAUCAUAGAUAGAGAUCGAAUUACCAAUUAUGAAUCUAUUUAUAUAAAUCAAAUAUUUAAUUAAAAUAAAUUAUUUUAUCAAUUAUAUCUUACCAUGAAAACAUUGUUAUAAGUAGAUUUGGUGGGUGUGAAUAUGAUUAAGGUAUGAUUGUCAACGUUUCUUUUUACUCGUUGACUCUAUGUUUAUGAGCAUAUCCCUGUCUACGAAUUAUGCCAUAUGGGAAAUUAUGAUAAAAUAGUAGCUACUUGUAUUGUAUGUACCGUGCCCAUCAUGCAUAUUAAUUAAUAAGGGACAAAGGUUAAAGGAAUUGAUUUGACCGAUAGUCAAAGAAAGAAAUAAACAUUAGGAGUUGAGUUGCCCACCCAAGCCACAAUUGGAUUUGGUACUUUGGUUUCUUUACUUCAUGUUGCAUUUCCCGCUCCAGUACUGUAAUUAAUUUAUGCCGUAUAUAUAUCUGAAAUGUCAUUAAACAUAAUAACGUUACGUAUAUAAAGCACAUUAAUGAUUUGAAAACAUAAAAGGAUAGUAAUAAGGAGUAUAACGAAUGAUCUCGUACCAACAUAACAGCAUGUUUAGAUCAAGCAACAUAUCAAAUAUGCUUUAUUAUUGUGGAGGAAAACAAUAUAUAUGUAGUUAAGAACAUCUGAUCCAAUGCAAGCGAGGCCGACGAGAGGAGUUGAGUGCGAGAGACAUAAUAUAAGGGCACGUACAGUGUACGCGCCCAUUAAAAAAAUAUUUGAAUUUUAAAAUUGUGCAACGAUUCGAUCUUGAAUUUUAAAAUUCAAGUAGCUUAGCUGUAUCUUGUCCUUGCACCAGAGCUUCGCCGGAAUUUCAAUAGUAUUUGGCUCGACAAUCCACCAUUUGCAACCACAACCUUCACAUUCGCCUCAGCUCAAAUUUGAAUGAAUACAUUUAUGCUCGUUUUGGUCCGAUCGAGCAAUAAUAAAAUUAUUGUAAUUUUAAUUUUAAUCAUUUUAUUUUAUUUUAAGUAUAUAUUUUAUUUUAAUUAAUGUAAUGUCAAAAUUUAAUUUUAAUGAAGUUGUAUUUAAAAAUUGAAUAGUUAAAAGGAAAUAGAGAAAUUAGAGCCCCUUAUAGAGCCAGUUACAUUGCAGAGCAUAAGCUCUAAGGUGGGGACUAUCUCCUUAGAGUCUUUUUUAGAGCAUUACAUUGGAAAUGCUCUAAGAGAUCAUUGUGAUAGUAAAAGAUUAGUUAAAUUCAAAUCUUAACUCUCCACUUUCCCAAGUCAAAGAAAUACUAUAUAUUCACAUGUAAGCAACUCACAUCAAUUAGGCUUAAUUAUGCAAAUUCUGACCUAAACACAGUUGGAACAUUGCUGCAUAAGCUGUCCUAAUCUUUUAACACCAUAUUGAUGUUUGAAGUAAAACCAGACGUGCUAAUUUAUAAAACCAGCACUUUAUUUAAUGAUGAAUUUGAGUGCACUGUUUUUGGAAGUUUCAACCCGAUCAUUAUUUUCCUAGAGGCUUCGAUCUCAAUUUGAUGUAACUAAUGUCUGACUUUUCAAUUUUCAUAUACAUUUUCAUAUUUAUUAAUUGUUUUAUGAUGGGCCAUGAAUUUAAAGUGGAUUUGGACACUAGCAGGCGACUUACUCCACAACUGGUAUCUGAAUUUUGGGUUGGCCAUCCAUCUGCUCUGAUACGUGAUUAUCGCCUUAAUUCUUCUUAUCUUAAGAUUAAUUAAUUAAAUAAAUCCCACUUAAAGCAUUUUUUGGGGGGGUUUGAUAGCUUAUGACUUUACCUAAUCCCACAUAAUCCAAGCAAAAUCUCCAAAAAGAAUGACAGCUGGGAUUUUACUGUCCAGCCAUCCAAAGUGUACUAGAAUUUAGUUUUCCGUCAAAAUACUUUAUUUUAUUUUAUUUUAAAUAUUGAAAUAAACAAUGAACAAGACUAUUGAAUAAAAAAAAAAAAAAAAACUAUUCCCUCCAUACAUAAUAAGUGUAAGACUGAAAAAAGGGGUUUGAGUAUAAUUUUCGGUGAUAUCAAAUGUCAUGUUUGAGGACAUCAAAAUAGAUUGUCAAUAAUUUUUUAUUUAUUUUUAUUUCUUUUUUUGUAUUUGAUUCUGAUGAACAAAUAUGUGCCGACGAAUGACAUUUGGGUAGGUUCAUAUGUAUUUACGGAUAAAAAUAUCCUGCAUAUUAUCGAAAUGCACCAUUUUUGUAUUUUAUGUACAUGUUAUACCAAAAUAUCACCUCAACAUAUAUAUAUCUGCAAUCUACCACUGAGAAGAAUGUUGCAAAAGGUAGCAUGGAUUUUACCAUACUUUUCCUUGGUAAUUAAACAGCGUGUAGGCUAUUAUUAUUGAUCCAAGAGCAUCAUUAUUGGUUGAGCCUCUAAUUAAUUUAUUCAUGUUCGGAUCUAUUUGUGAAUCACUUGUUGCGUUAAUUUGACUCAUCAUGUUGACUCAUAUAAAUUAGUUUUAAGUUUUGAUUUAAUUUUUAUUCCAAAAUUAAAAUAAUUGAAAUACAAUAAAAUUACUUUAAUAACAUAAAUAAGAAAAAUAUAUCAAUUAAAAAAAUCACACAUAAAAAACCAUUUGCAUAUUAACAACUAUAUAUUUCCACAAUUUUCCCGUCGGACGAAGAAGAAGAGUAAAACGAAGCUAUUUUGCUAUGUGAGAAAAUGAAAGAGUGAAUGAGAAUUAAGAUGAAUUAGAGAUAAAAUGAUGUAGGGGAGUAGUGUUGUUUAUUGAUGAAAAAAAGCUGUUAAUAGACAUAAAACAUUUUUUUUCAAUUUUCAUUUUUUAAGUUUGACGUGUGUGUAACAUGCGCCUCACAUUUCGCUUCAUGAGCCAGGCUUAUGCCAUCACGUUGCGAUUUGAGCUUCCCCGUCUGCAUCGGGAGGCUCAUUGUCAAGGUUGGUUCGAGCGAGACGAUGAGCCUCACCUAUAUCAUAUAGAUGCUUUAAGAAGUAUUGAAAUCAAAAAAAUUAAUACUAUCAUAUAUAAAUUUGAAUUCAAAUACAAUUAAUAGCAUUUUAUAUUAAAGAUGGAGGACGGGUUAAACUACAUUUGAAUAUAUUUUUAUUUUAAGAUUAAUUACAUAUAAUUAAUGAAUUUUCAGAAAAAUCUUAUUUUCGAAUUUCAAAAUCUAUAUUAAAAUUACUUAAUUAUUAAUUGUUUAUCCUAUUGCUAUCCCACCUGAUAAACUUAGUGCUAAAGUGAUCAUCUGAUAUGAUGUUAUCUAAUCUAUUUUUUUAUUUUUCAAAUCGACGUCGUUUUAGUAAGGCCACUUCAACCAUAAGUUUUGCUAUAAAAUGACCGAAAUAGAAAAUAUAUACACCAUGUUUUUUAGUGAGACCACUUCAACCCUAAGUUUUGCUAUAAAAUGGGCGAAAUAAAAAAAUAUACAUCUAUAUAUAUAUAUAUAUAUAUAUAUAUAUAUAUAAUUUAAUAUAAAAUUAAAAAUUAAUGUAUUACCCGGGACCUCACUGUUCACACACAGGAGAUCGCACCGCUCGGUGUCCCAUAAAUAAUACUCCCUCCGUCCACGAAAUGAGUACCUAUUUGUGGACGACACGGGUUUUAAGAAAUGUAUGGAGUGUGGUGUGAAUAAUUUAAGGGUCCCACUUUUUGAGUGUAUUAAUUAAAGAGAUGUGUGGGGUACACUUGCCAAAAACGGAAAUGGGUACUUAUUUCGUGGACGGACGAAAAAUGAAAUAUGGGUACUCAUUUCGUGGACGGAGGGAGUAAUUUUUAUAUAAUUAACCCUUUAUAGAACCCCGAAUGGGACAAAUAGAAGCCGCAUGAAUAAAAAGUUUUUUUUGAAAGAAAUCACAUUUGAUAUCGCAAAAACAACUAUAUUUGAGAAUUUGAGAUGGGCCUCUUCGUCUUGAAAAACAAGCCUCCUUUGGGCUCUCAUUUGACAUUCAAAUUGGAGGCAAGGUCCGCUUGUGAGGAGGAGGGUCUUCACAUAGAAACAAUUAUCCUCUGCAUAUAAAAUUGAUCGCAUGCAUUCUCUGCGAUACAAAUUUUAAUAAAAUAUAAAUAAAAUUGUUAAUAGAAUAAAAGUUUUACUUUAAUUAUAAAUAGAAUUGUGUGAACUAUAUACAAUUAUAAAUGAAAGUGACAAUUAUUUUAUAGAGGAAACGGAAAAAAAAAUUAGUGAUAAAUUUUUUGUAAACAAAGAAAGUACUAAUAUUUUGUGGUCCAAAAUUCAUAAAGACACUUAAUUUUUUAAAGAUUAAUUAUUAACAUCUAAAUACAUGAACUUUGGAUCAUUUAGAUUUUUCUCCCUAAUUUUAAAAAUAAUCAAAAAAAGAUACACAAACUUAAAUAUAAUUGCAAUUUUUUCAUAAUUAAAUAUUAGUCAAAAUUAAAAUUGACAUAUUAAUUAACAUGGUACCAAUUCAACUAAAACGUAAUCAAUUUUGCAUUUACAAAAUAUUAAAAAAAAAAAAAUCUUAACUCCAGUCUCCAAGUCACUCCACCAUCUCUCGCUCUUAAAUUUGAGUUCGAGUCGCCUCUGCAUGACCGAAUCACUCUAGAAUAACCUGCAAUUUGUAUAGUCUGCAAUCCAAUAAAUCGAGAGAUUGGUCCGAUUUACAUCUCUAAGAAAGCGUUUAUUUUGGAGGAUUAACUUUGAUAGAUAAAAAUAGUAAUGUUAAUCCCUAGUUUACUUUGAUGGAUUGAAACUUAGGGUUAGGGUUAGGGAUAUCCCAAGGUCCUUGAUUAUUUUUAUCACGAAAGCUAGUUUUGCUUGAUUCUUAUCGCAUGGAAAAAGUGGGAUUGAAAAAAAUUCUACUCUCUUCGUCCCAAUAAUCUUGUCCUACUUUCCUUUUUGAUUUGUUCCAAUAAUCUUGUCCCAUUUCCUUUUUAGGAAAAAUUUAGGGCUUGAUUAGUUAAUUAAACACCAUCCUAAUUAAUCCACUAAACAUCAUUCCUUCUUUCCUUCAUCUCGCUCGACACUCUCACCCUCUCUAUUUCUCACACACAGAGCACGCCCACACACAAGCACACGCCGUCACCCUUCUGAUCUCUGGUGAUUGCAGCUGCAGCGCCGCCGCCAUCGCCCUUCGCUUCUCUUUCUCCAGCUCAUCUCUCUCAAAUCUAGAUCCCCAAUUUCCGUCUCUCUCUCAACUCUUGAGAACGACGCCACUACCACCACUGGGAUACCCUCUGACCUCGGCUGGACAAUAGCAGUAGAGACGGCGCCGCUCCCCUUCUUUCAGCGGCGACAACGACUGAUAGCCGCCACCGGUACCUCUCUUUCUCUUCCCGCCGGACGGACAGGAGCACCGAGCUACUGUCGUCGACUUAUCUCUCUCUCUCCUUCUACUUCUGCCGGCAGACAUUUUCUGUUUUUGCUUAACAAAGAUGAUGAAAAAUUUGUAGAAGAAAUUCUUGAAAUUUGUUAAGAAGGAUGAAGAUCUUGUUGAAAUUUCUUAUUGAAAUUUGUAGAAUUUUGUUGCAUUUUCUAUUCUUGCUUAACGAAGAUGAUGAAAAUUUUGCAGAAGAAAUUGUUGAAAUUUGUUGAGGAGGAUGAAGAUUUUGUUGAAAUUUGUUAUUGUAAUUUGCAGAAAUUUGUUGCAUUUUUGUUGUUGCCUUUAAUUUACAGAAUUUAGUUUUACUAAUCAAAUCCUUAAUUAGGUGGAUCAUCACCUUUAUUCAUCUAAUUUAACACUCCUUAAUUAUCAUGCCGAAAAGAAACGGGACAAACUUAUUGGGACGGAGGGAGUAUUAUUAUGGAUAAAAAUACUCAAUCACGCAUAUAAUCAAUCAUGCAAAAUAAAUUCCUCGUAAAUAUGUAUUAGUUUAAAAAUUAUUAUCCGAUUGACAUGUGUCCUACUUAAUAAAUGGCUAACCUGCCCAUGUGGAAAUAAUUUUUGCUACCGACACCCCUAAAUUUCUUAUUUAUUAGAUGGAGUGCACUUGACAAAUAACGUGCAUGCGUAUCAGCACCGUCCAUUAGCACGACCUUUCACCUCUCUCCUCAUCUCAAACUACUCAUUCCACGUACAUCACCUUAUCCAUCAAUUUCACAUUUUUUUUG